UUAAUCAUGAUCAAAGCUCUGGGUUAUAUAAUUAUGCACGUACAAAGAAUUGGUUUUAUUUGACUGAGAGAGAGCUUAAUCAAAGCUCAUCAAUUCCCAAUAAUCAAAACCUAAGACAAACCCACGACUUGGUGGCUUGAGAGAGAGAGAGAGAUGUCAUCGACUGACAUAGUGGAGGUGUAAUCAGAAAAGCAAUACGGGCAAAAAUGAAAAUAUUAUAAUACCUUAGAUUUUCAUAUCAAUUUUCUUUGUUUUAUUUCCGGAAUUAAUGAAGGAUUAUUUGUGGAAAUUCUUAGUUGGUUUUGCGAAGUUGAAGUUUUGGAAGUUUAUUUUAAGGUGUUUGUUUUAAGUGGUCAAAAAGUUGACUUUAUUUUCCGUAAGUUAUUUUCGAAAACUUCCUUCAUGAAAGUUGUAGAGUUUGUCGAUACGAGUUCGUAGACAUGUGGCAUGCUUGAAACGGAUGUCGUAUGAGAAAGUUAUGGUCAGAAGAAGUUAGUUUCCGGUUUUGGGAAGAGUAUAAGUAGAAAAAUGUGUGGGAGUAAUUUUUGGAAACCCUAUAAUUGCAGCAGCCCAGUUUCAGUUCUCUCUCCUCUCUCCCGACCCUCCCACACUCUCUUUCUUCUCCGGCUGAUUUCUCCUCUGUUCGGCCACCGAUUUAGGCGCUGCCGGUUCCGUUGGAUUCGUAUGGACGUCCUCUUCAUUUCUGGGGCAGUCUCGCUUGCUGUCUCGUCGCCUAGAAGCCGCCAUGGAGCGGCGGAGCUGCAGCUGUCUCACCGGAAAACCAACGAUUUCGGAGACAACGAGGGGCUAACUUAGGUGAGUUUGGUUCCUCUCCUCCUUCUGGUAGUGGCUAGGCAUAGAUUGAAACAAGUUUUUGAGUUCUUGAGCCCCGAAUUUGCAGAUUGAAGGUUGAGUUCGUGGUGGUGUUUCGGGGAAUUUUUCGGCCGUUUCCGGUCAAAAUUGGUUGAAACCUCAGGUAUUAAAGUUGCUCUCAAUCUACAAGUUUCAUGUUGAGAGUUUUCCUAAUUUUUGAAGUUGGGGGUGGCUCGUGGGGCUCACUCGCCGCCGUCUUUGGUGGCGUGUGGGGGCGCGUUCGAGAAGUGUGGGGGCUUUGGUUGCCGUGUUAGCAAGUCCUUGUUAGUUACUAGUGUGUUGACGUGUGUGAAGGCUAAGUGUCGUUUUGGUUUUGGUAGCUUAUGUGCUAUGUUGUUCUUGGUGUUUAUUAGGUCAUAAACUUUGAAAGUUUGAUCUUGGAGGUAGUAUGGUUUGUUGGUUGAGUGUCCAAUGACCUUGGGAGGUCUUAGAGGAUGGAUUGCCCUUCCUUGGGCAACCUUUAGGUUAAAGGUACUUUGUUCCUUGUUGAGAAUUUACUAAGGUUAUUAAUGGUGUUAAAUAGGUAGCUUGUGGAGUAGAUAUUUGAGCUUGGCUCUUGAGUUUAUUGUGAAGACGCAGCGAGAUUUAAGGUGAGUAACAUUUCACCAAGGUUCACUUUGGGACCAAUUAUUUAUGGUUAUCGUGAUAAUGAUUAUGAUGAUGAUUGUGAUGAUGAUUAUGAUGAUGGUUAUGAUGAUGAUAAUGAUUAUGAUUAUGAUUAUGAUGAUUGAUUUUGAUGAUGAGGAUGAUGAUGAUGAUAAUUAUUAUGACGAUUGAUUUUGAUGAUGAGGAUGAUGAUGAUGAUAAUGAUUAUGAUGAUUGAUUUUUGAUAAUGAUUUUGAUGAUGAUUAUAAUUUAAAAAUUAUGUUUUUGUUUGUUUUAAAAUAUAUGAGCUUGAUCGCCAACGGCUCAUAGGUAAGUUAAAACAAGUUUUCUUAUUAUAUGAUUAUUUUUAAGGUUCAUGUGGUCAUAAUGUUUUUGGUUAUUGAUAGAUGAUUCUUGUGCGGAUAUUUAGGUUUGUUCAUAUAAAUAUAUCUAUGUGGAAGGAUAUAAAUUUUAUGAUGUGCUCAUCGUGUUGAUUGAUGAUAAUUUUAUUAUAUUGUGGUGUGUGGUUUAAAUGGUCAAACCGGGUUCUAAACAUUUAAUCGGGUGAUUGGUUACAGUUAUGAUGAUUCUACCCUUAUAUGAAAUGUUGUGUAGAUAGUCAAACCGGGUUCCAAGCCUUUAAUCGGGUGAUUGGUUACGGUUAUGAUGCUAUUAUUAUUUUGUGUUUGAUAUUGGACAGUCAAACUGGGUUCCAAGCCUUUGGCCGGGUGAUUGGUUACGGUUAGGAAUAAAGCUCUAGUCUGUCUGUCGGUGUAGGUCAUGGGAGGUACCUUAAGGUAUCUGGGACCCAUGAGUACAUAAAUUGUUGUUGUAGGUCAUGAGAGGUAUUUAUUAAUAUCUGUGACUCAUGGGUACAUGUGUUUGUUGUAGGUCAUGAGAGGUAUUUAUUAAUAUCUGUGACUCAUGGGUACAUGCAUAUUGUAAAAGUAUUGGUUAUGUGGUUUUAUCAUUGUUCUUAAUUGUUGUCAUUUAAAUUCUUUGUUUUGAGUAUCUCCUGAACUAUUGCUUAAUGCAAGAGAUUCUUUAAUUUUAUUUGUGAAUUGUUGUGUUUUCUUAUUUACUCUCUUUUGAAUUUUAUUGUUUUGAGGCGAUUCCUGAACUAAGUUCUCAAGCAGGAAUUACCGGUCUUAUCUUAUAUGAUGUAGGGUUAAGAUUAUUUUUGAGAGUUACUCAUACGAGCUUUUUAGCUUACCGGGUUUGUUGUUUACAACCCGGUGCACCAAUUCCUGGUGUAGGGGUUAGACUUGCAGGUGAUGAUCAGCAAGGUUGAGGCGGAGGCAUAGUGGCAGGAUUUUAGUUUCUGUGCAUUUUAUCUUAUUUUAUUAUGGCAGUUUGUUUGUAAGCUCAUACGAGGGUCCUUAUUUUACUAGACUUUUGAAGUUAAUGUAAAUAAGGAGAUGUAAUGUUUAACUCAGUCGAUGAGCUUUUUAGCCAAUUUGCUACCCUAACUUUCACUGUGGUGUCAGUUUGCUACCCUAACUUUUUUUUCUGCCAUUUUCCUACCCUAACUUUCAUAAAUUAGCUGAAUUGCUACCCAACCGUCAAAUCGUCCAAUUCCUGUUAUGUUUUCCGUCCAGUGAGGGGUAUUUUUGUCAUUUAAUUAAAUAAAUUGAUAUAUCUAUAUUUUCAAGUUAUGGAUGAGACCCUAACAAAAAAAAAAAAACACUUAUACAUGGGACGAGAAAAAAAAAAACUGAUAUCAUUCAAUUCAAUCCAUGAUCAUACUCAAAAUUAAACAAAAAACAUCACAUUGUUUUAUUCUCACAUGUUUGAGAAUAAGAUCAAUGAACCUACACAAAAAUAGUCUCUACAUAAGAGGCCUAUAAUUAUAUGUUUUUUAUCCCAACUUGGAUAUCACAAAAAUGGUCACCCUAUCACUAGAUUUUGAAGUUUCAUGAACUCUACGGCCUCCACGGCCCUGAUGGUGUACCUACUGAAGAGUGUGUAGUUAUUGGAGCUGUAUAUUGCCUUGGCACUGGCCUCACAUGGCCUCCUCGAUUUACCUAGUUCAAUAUACACACAUAUAUAAAUCAAUGAAAAUAAAUACAAGAAACAAACUAAAAGCACCAAUCAAACAUGAAAGAAGCAUUGUCAUACCUCCCUACUAGCUGCUGUUGAUGGUACAUGAUAUUCUUGUUGAUUCAGUCCACUAUUUUGGUUGCCUCUACCUCGAUCCUUUGCCAGCUCCACCUCCUCUGUCAGCUCCACCUCCUCGCGCACCUCCUCUGCCAGCUCUACCUCCACACAUACCCUGCCCACAAAUAUACAAUUUUUUUUUUUUACAAAGAUCAAAUAAACAUUUCUAAACAUGCAUUAUUAUAGAAAGAAAUUUGGUUGGCUUCAGUUGGUGUACUCACUUGAGUUUGUGUUCUUGAGGUCACAUUAGCUUGAAUUGGUGUGUUGGCUGGUGUUGACGUGCUCGCUUGAGUUGGUGUUUGUGAGGAGAGAUUACCUUGAACUUGUUCAACCAAAUUCUGAACAUGCAUGAAAUUAGCAUAUAAUUAUAAAGCCAUUUCAGAAACUUUUAAACCCCACAAAAAAGUACACAGUAAUUAGAUGUGUUCAUAUAUAACUANNNNNNNNNNNNNNNNNNNNNNNNNNNNNNNNNNNNNNNNNNNNNNNNNNNNNNNNNNNNNNNNNNNNNNNNNNNNNNNNNNNNNNNNNNNNNNNNNNNNUUAUUGAACUUGGAAAAGUUUAAGGUUUCAAAAAACAUACCUUUCUAGAGGCUGCCGAGAGGAGAAAUAACGUUUCGCCUACUUAUACUUCGAAUUUAGGGCUGAAAAUUUGAUAGGAGGAGCAGCACUGGAUGGGGAAGCUGCUGUCAAAAUUUCAGGUUGAUCGGAGCAAGGUAAGGUGGUGAACCGGUGGUCGGUAGCGGCGGCGGUCUGGAAUCUUCCGGCGGCCGGUUCGGAGACUUUCCGGCCGGUUCUCAGGGUGAGACCGGCGGCGUUGGAUCCGGGGCGGAGAGAGCUUUCUGGGGAUAUAAAAUUCCGGCGGAGGGCAGUCGGAAUUUUGGUCGGAAAUUGGGAAAAACAAGGCUGCCCGAUUUUAGGGUUUUGGUUUUUAGGGUUUAGAAAAAAAAUGGUGGGCUAUUGGCUCUAGGAUUAGAACACAGUGCAUGAUAACGUGAUAAAGGAUAAAGUGUAGAGACAAAGAGAUAGCAAGAGAGUCAUCAUCUUAUUCAUUGAUAGGAGCCCUUUAUAUAGGGAAUUAUACAAUACCAAUAUGGUAAGGAUAUGAAUACAUAGAUCUAGUCUAACUACAUAUCCUAUUGGCAUAAGGCCAAGACACACAUAGAGAAUAUUCUAAAACAAAGUUGAGAUUAUGAGAGUAGAAGGGGUGGUAUAAGACAUUCAUCUCGACCAUUUUCAAUUUUCGACAUGAAACGAGCCCGACACGGCCCUUUCACGGCCCACCAUGUUAUGGGCUUGGGUCGUGGGUCUGGUUGGGCCUUACAUUUGAGUAAAUGGGCCGGCCUAAGCCCGAGCCCGUUAAGAAGUGGCCCGUCGUGGACCGACCCAAACACAGCCGAAAACCCGAUUAGGCGGGCCAGGCUGGGCUGGGCUAGGCAGGGCCGGCCCGUUUGCACCUCUACCUGCUGUGGUGUUAUUCACUUUCGGGGGAUUGGCAGUACCAGAUAUGUUGUUGGCAAGACACAAGAGUUGCAUUCCAUUCAAUGUUAUCUCGUGGAGUUGCCCCCAAUGCAUACACAUAUUCUGUUCUCAUCAAGACACGCCAAAGACGCAGACUUCAUUGGUGAUGCCAAGAAGUACUUGCUGGAAAUGGUUGACAAUGGAAUGAGGCCCAAUGCCGAGACUUGCAAAUCUGUGCUCGAGGCAUUUGCUCGGGCGCAAAAGAUGGAGGAAUGCGGGGAAUUAUUGAAUGUGAUGAAGGGUAAGGGCUUUGUGAUAGAUUGACAGCUCAAUCCAUUUGCUCUACAUGAAUUCAUCACUAUUAUAAGAAGAGUUAGAAACUCAUUGCUCGGCUUUUGUGUUUCCUCGUAUGAAUUAGGAUAACUGUUAUGUUAAUUUGAAGAUAUGGUUACUUUAGUGCUGUGCUGAAUUGUAUCUGAUGUCUUUAGCUUCUGGAUCUAUGCUGCUUAUAUUGUGUGCUUGCAGCUAUAACUAUAAACCAAAAAUGUGCUUGUGAAAGCCAAAAUAUAAAAACAGAGUACCUUAAUUCUUGACCAGAAUUCAGGACUGGUUAAUAUGAUUUUGGCGUGGAUUGUUCUGUCAAUGACAUGCUAUACAUACUCUUAACAAUCAUAAGAACAAGAAUUUAAUUGCAUGUUGCUGCAAGUAUCUUCAAAUAAUUUUUUGCAUUACAAAAAGUUACGAUCACAUAGCACUGACAAAUGUUUCAAGUCUUUUUGUUGAUUUAAACUAAAUGCAUGCCACUCUGAAUUUACUUAUAUAUAUACACACACACUAACGGAUGGUUAACUGUUCAUAUCAUAAACAUAAGCAUAUGAACAGUGAUNNNNNNNNNNNNNNNNNNNNNNNNNNNNNNNNNNNNNNNNNNNNNNNNNNNNNNNNNNNNNNNNNNNNNNNNNNNNNNNNNNNNNNNNNNNNNNNNNNNNNNNNNNNNNNNNNNNNNNNNNNNNNNNNNNNNNNNNNNNNNNNNNNNNNNNNNNNNNNNNNNNNNNNNNNNNNNNNNNNNNNNNNNNNNNNNNNNNNNNNNNNNNNNNNNNNNNNNNNNNNNNNNNNNNNNCUGGGUAUAAUUUGCAUGUAUAACAUUCUAUGAAGUACAUAUCAUAAACAUUUCUAUCAAUCAAUUAACCCAUUGACCAGCUUCAUAACGUUAUUUUUGGAUAAAGUAAUUUUAAUGUCCAUAGAAAUUUUAAAGUCAUGGGAAUUACAAUUCCAUGAAUUUAAAUCCUAUUAAUUGAGAAUUUCAUUGUUUAAAUUUCAUGAUGUGUCCAUAGAAAUUUCAAAAUCAUAAGAAUUACAAUUCCAUGAAUUUAAAUCCUAUUAAUUAAGAAUUCCAUUGUUUAGAUUUCAUGAUGUAGAGUUUUUAAAUGACAAGAAUUUGUAUUCAGACUAACCUUAGUUAAGGGAAUUGACAAAUGACCUUAUUUUGUGAGGAAUUCAAGUCGGGAAUUUAAGCUCCUAAAUUGCACGAUUAUUUUCCCGUGAAAAUUACUAAUUCCACGGGAUAAGUAUCCAAACGAGGGAAACCGUUCUAAAAAAUUAGGAAUUCCUUAUGUUUGAUUAAAUUCUCAGGAAUUCACCUACAUCCAAACAUACCGUAAAUGUAUACUCCGCGCCGAGGCGCGGGUAUAAUUCUAGUAUCAACCAAUAGACAACGAUAGAUCCAAACAAGCAAUUUUAACGAGGAUAAAUCAUACAUUUACCUUAAAGCAAUUUUACGGAGGAUAAAUCAUAUAUUUACCUUAAAUUCUUGCACGUUACUUUUUAGAAGACCAAAACAUCUCCCUCCAAAAAAUUGUAAUUUAUAGAAAACCCUCUACAUCUCUACAUUCAAAACUGAGUGCCAUCUUUAUGUCAUAUACCCCAAGUCCCCAACACCAUGGUCGCCACCUCCAACUUCCUCACCAUUAAACUUGACCGAACCAAAUCUUCCACACACAAAAACACACACACACACACACAAAAAACCUUGACCGGACCAAUUACUCUCUCUGGCUAGCCCACAUUACUUCUAUAUCUGCUCAAAAGCAGAAACCUCAUGGGUUUUGUUGAUGGCACCGGACCAACCCUUUUCUCUCUGGUUACUUCUAUGUCCUUCCUGCUUCAAGACUGAUGAAGCUGGUCAACUCACCAACGACAUCAACCCUGGUUAUGAGCUGUGGAUCUCACAGGAUCAGAUGGUCCUCGGCUGGAUUAACAAUUCCCUCACCCUGAUCUACCAAUUGUUUCUAUACCUCUACGCCUUGCGUCUCAUUCACGGAAUUGUAUCCUCCAACUCCGAGGAGAGCUCCUUCAUACCAUGAGAGAUAACCUAAGUAUCUCUGAUUUCUGAUAUGAAAACACCAUUAGCUUUGCUCAAGCCAGGGACACCGGACACCCCAAUCACAUAUGAUGCCCUUGAAGCAUCACUUUCGGGUUGCCAACCAGCCAAUGUUAGCAUCUAUGUUCGGUUGCCUCCAUGUUUGGUAAUAUACCCUCCUGUGCAAAGCAGUAGUAUCAAUUUGUAAGCUGAUGUAGUAACAAAAACAAGAAAGCCAUACAUACAAUCUCGCAUAUGUUUACCUUGGAGCAGCAUUUGUGUCCUCGAAGAAUCUCCGUGGCUGUCUCACCAAAGAAAGCAGCAUAGAUACUUCUACCGUAGAAAGGCUUUUUGCCAGGGUUUGGAAUGUUGUGCUUAUCCUUGGCACACCAGAGGUGGAUUUUCAAUAAUGGAUCCAUUGUUUAUUGGUGGAAGAAGAGUGCAGAAGGUUUCCUAGCCCUAGAGUUUGAAGCCGCUAGGGUUUUAAAACUGAGAAGGCAAUAGAGCACGAAACAAUAGUGAAGUUUAAAUAGGGUCUACCGGUCUAGGUUAGUAUGUUCUAGGAUUUGUAGUUGUUUAUAUUCGGUAGGAAUCGUAGAAUCCAUGUUUUGUGGUUCUUGGCCACAUAAUAAUUACUCGGAUGGAAGAAAUCAAGUAGAUCACUACCAGAUAGUAUGAUUUUGCUGGUUAUUUUUCUUGGUUUUUCCAUAUUUUCUGUCAAUUUAUUAAGAAUUCCUUACCUUUUUUCUAAAGGAUAAUUCUGCACCUUUUGAAUAAGCUAAUGGCAGUGAUGAUUUUCUGUUGCAAAUGGCAUUAAUCUUUGAUCCAUAGAAUUCUCAAAAAAUCUUUGAUCCAUAGAAAUCUGUUUGCUUUUGAAUUCUUUACUAAAAACAUUCAUGAAGCAACUAAUAUUGAGCAGCCAAGUAGAAAUGGGUGAUCUUCGCAUCCCUAUCCUAACAUUGUACUGUCAAGAAUACAUCUAUUUUCCCUCAAAAUUAAAAAGUUGAUCUGUUUUCUGAAACAACAGAAACUAAAGAUCGAAUGGAGUACAUUGUUUGAAUUGUGUACUUCAAACUGUCAAAAGAAUGAUUUACCCAUAACAACAAUUCCAGACUUUCAAAAACAUCAAAUGCUCCUACUUAAAUUUAAAAUUCACACCUACUUUUUAUGCAUAGGUAAAAGUAAAACUAUAUUGUCAAACAAAUACAUAUGUGGGAGACCAGUGAAGAGCGCAGUUCAAAACUAAUUCCUAUGAAGUAUGGUUAAAUCUGAUUUUUGUGACUCCCUGGAGGAACGAACAUCUCCCAAUCUCACUGAUCUUCAACAGUCCACAAAACACAUAAUAGUACAAAGCAAUGCACAGAGCAGCAGUAGCAGCCACCUUUAACCGACCAAUGGUGCUGGAAAACUGGUGUUUAAGGAUGCUCAUCUAAUAUCCUUGUUUCUUAGAAGGGCACUCUGAUGCUCUGUGCCCAGACUGCCCACAGUUGAAACAGGAACCUCCAAAGCUUCUGCAAUGCAAGUACAGACAUAAUUUCAGCUUUCUGUAGAUUUGAAAAUCAAUCAUGGAGGAUCUACUACCCUAAUGGUUUGAAUAUCAAACAAUAAGGUCUUUCAAUCAAUGAUAUUAGCCAAUGCACUUAAUUUGUUCACAAAUGAGUUGGUGGCCAACACAUAAUUCUGAUUUUUAGCAAAAAUGAAUUAAAAUCAGGAAAUAAAAUUAAGGAAGGGGAAUGGCCCUUCUGACAGAACAUACAGAGAAACAAAAAAAGUCCCGGAAUUGCCUACAACAAUGUACACUAGAAACUACUAGUGCUGGCUCACAAGUUCAUAACUCUGGAAAUUUUUUGAAAGUGAACUAAAGUUGCAAGCCAAAAUUUAGAAAGACGAUUACCCAUUAGACAUGAAACACAUGUAGAAACAAGUCCCGAACUUCCCAAGAACAAUCUACUAUAAAAAUUGGUAUUGCUGGCUCAUAAGUUCAUCACUCCAGAUUAUUAUGCACUUGUAUAUCCCAAUUGAAUACUGUCAAAGUGAUAUCACAUUCUUCUACUAGACUAAAUGUGAGUGUACCAAAUCAAUGUUUGAUUUGUUAGUCUAUUGGGUUUCUAUUCUUUCAAUGUAAAUUGAAUGAUGAGUUUGAAAUUCUGAAAGCACCUUAUAUUGCAAGAGAAUGAUUUGACUUGCAAAUGACAUACCUGUCUCGGGAUGGUAUUCUGCCUGUUCGUGUACCUCCUAUAAGCCAAUCAUCAUCCAUACUUCUUGUCAUCCGUGGUCGGCUGCUGCUGCUGCUACUUCUAUUAAAACUUCCUCGGCUACUCCUAAAAUCAUCAUCACCAUCACUAAAAUCUCGGCCACCUCCCCAUCCACCCCUAGAGCUGCUUCUAAAACCUCCCCUUCCACCACCACCUCCCCGUCCACCACUAAAACCUCCCCGUCGACUACUCCUGUCCCUAGCUGAAAACCUGCCAUAGUUGUCACUCACUGGACCGUCAUCUUGCAGUGGAGGCAACUAGAAAUACAAAAUAAACAAGCACAUAAGAGCUCAGUUAGUCACUCUUGCGGCAUGGAUAGAGAUUUGGGCAACAUAAAUAUGAAACUGCAAGAGUAAUAAAUCACAUUCUCAUUCAAUAGCUGAUAUUUUUUUUAAAGUACAGGAAAAAAGCUGCACGUAUGAGAAAGAAACCAAAUGCAAAAUUCACCUUGCUUAUCUUGGAAAUACUGUUUCCAGGAGGCAUUUGCCUCUUCAACAACUCUUUUGCAAUCUCCUCUGGAAGAUCAAAAACUGCUCCUUGAACCUGAAAUUAUUACCAUUAAUAUUCAUUUAUAUAAAUGAAGUAUGGCACUCAAAUGAAAUAUAAGAUAUAGUAGAAACAAACCCUUUCAUCUGCAAUUAAAUAUAUUUUUCCAACUUCAUCAGCAGCUGCAGAAUAAACAUCUGAAAGAAACCCAGUGACAGAUCUAGCAGACAGGUAACCUCUGGCAAACUCUGGAUCCCGAAUUAUUUGCAAUGUUGUCCACCCCUGCAAUGUUGUUCAAAUAGUACAAGACAUCAGAGGGAGGCUACAGAUUAUAUCUGGCUUCAAUUAUACAUAUGUGUGUGUGUGAGUCGGAGUGUGCGCAUGUGUGUGUGUUUGAAAAUAAACUGCUGUUACAGAAAAUUAAGUAUUUUUUGGGUACAAUUAAUACCGGCUCGUGACUGAUUAGAGACCGGGAUGACGGAGGUCGGGAAAAUCCACUUAGCUGUGCCAGUGCAGCAGCAAGAGCAGUUGUUCCCUGUUCUUCAAUCAGUUUCUGUGCUGUUGGUGUGAAGAACUUAAUAGACUCAGGAUGAACCCCAUUGAGAGUAGCAACCACAUGUGAAGCAGAUGACUCCAAAACCUCUUCAACUGUUGGCGGAGUAACAAACUCAAACCUGCACCCCACAUCACGCUCAAGAGUUUUGACUGUUCUCCUCUGGUUAUUAGUAAACAUCAGAACGGCAUUUCCGAGUUUCCCUGCACGUCCAGUACGACCAGAGCGAUGUACAAAUGUCUCUGAAUCAUUGGGAAGUUCAUAGUGGAUAAUCUGUAAAGGAAAGAUUAUUCAGAUCACCAAUGUGUUUCAACCUGGGCUCUAGAAUUGGCAAACUUUUCAUGGUGGCAUACAGAAUCAGGAUAUAUAAAUUUUAGGAAUCAAUAUAGCUUACCAAGUCAACGUUGGGAAUAUCAAGUCCACGGGAUGCAACAUCAGUGGCAACGAGCACUGUGAAUUUUCCUUGCCGAAAACCAUUUAGGGUUCUCUCCCUUUGAUGUUGUGAUAUAUCUCCAUGCAAUGCCUCAGAAGCUAUGCUAGUCGUUAAUGACAUUGACACUUCAUCAGCAUCACGUUUGGUUUGGGUAAAAACAAUGGUCUUCCCACCCUUGGCAUAAACCUGAAGAUAUGACAAUAUUUAGUUCUGCAGAAAACGGUCCUUCAAAUAAUUUACAACAGCUAUAAAGAAUCAUAUUAUAAGAGGUAAUGUUAUAACCCUGGAAACAUUAUCUUAUCUUUUUUAUUUUUCAAAAAGAUAUAAUCAAGAGCCAAGUCCACUAUUUCCUACUUCACAUAGAAGGAAGUAAUGGACUUGACUGGCAGAGAUUAAUACACAUCAGAAGUUCCUCAAAAUGAACCACAACAAGACUAAGAUAAUGAUUUCCAACUCUUACUGUUAUAAGAUCACUAAGAAUAGUCCGCUUUGAAGAGUUAGUGGUUGAUAGAGCGUAGAGUUUGAUCCCUUCUGCAAGUUUCUCGUCUUGAUCACCAACCUUUUAGAAAUGAGAAACAGAAAUGUCAGAACUUUAAGAACCACUCUACAAUUAUUUCAGAUUUGUAAGAACAUAAAAAACACAAUACUUAUUAAUUAGUAUUAUCUAUUAUGCAGACUUAGGUCAUACACACUCAACACAUACAACUCCAACAAACUAAAAAUUCUAAAUGGAUAGCUAUAUAACACACAGAUGUUCAUGCAAAACCCCUGCCAUAUUUUAGAAGCAUGUAUCAUGCAAAUAAUGAAAAGUUUCAAACUUGACAAAGCACAGCAAGAAGACAGAAUAACAAAUUACCAAAUCAAUCGUCAAUGGAUUGUCUAAAUAUUUCCGUGCUAGCUUUUUCACCCAAGUUGGCAUAGUUGCAGAAAAAAGCAUGCUCUGCCUCUGAGCUGGAAGUCUUUGUAAAAUUGUUUCCACAUCAUCCUCAAAUCCAACAGCAAGCAUCUGAUCAGCUUCAUCAAGUACCAAAUACUGAACUUCACUCAACUUGAGGCUGCCACCGUUUAUCAGGUCAAUAAGCCGACCAGGAGUUCCAACCACUACAUCAACCCCUCGCGAAAGAGCACUCUGUUGUGUUACGUAGGAGACUCCUCCAUAGACACAAACAGUGUUCAGAUAAGGUGCAGACUCUUUAAUCUCCUUCUCCACUUGCUUUGCCAACUCCCGAGUAGGUGCAAGGACCAGAACUCGAGGAAGAUAACCAGACCGCCUACAAAAAGACACUCAUCAAAAUCUUCACAUUCAAACACUCCAAAGCUCAAAAUUACAAAUAUCUGAGAAACAAAACUAGUACCUUGAACCUCUCUGUUCAUCAUCUUCUGUUAGGCGUUUAAGUAUGGGAAUCCCGAAGGCCAAUGUCUUCCCAGUCCCGGUCUUUGCACGAGCUAUAAUGUCUCUACCUUCCAGUGCAGGCACUAGCACAGCUCUCUAAACAUUUUAACCGAAAUUAAGUGAGUAUUAACCAUGAAAGACACAGCAUUACAUACCUAUAUCAGUCUAAUCACAAUUCAACAAACUAUUCAAAACUCAACAACUUCAAACUAUAGUCAGAGCCACACCACAUACAAACAACACAUAAUCUGAAGGAUAAUGCUAUAAAGUAUUCCGACUCGGACUGAAUUACAAAGCUUUAGAUGGAUAAGAUACCUGAAUGGGAAAAAGCGAAGAAAUGCCACGUCUCUCAAGGCUAUCCACAAGCCGCUGAGGCAAGCCCAAUUUCGAAAGAGCCAGCUCGUCUUUACUCCCCACCGCCGGCUCCGCCACUUCACUCUCCGACUCAUACUCCGACUCCGAGUCUAGCUCCUCCUUUGAAAACCCACCAAGCCCCUUGAAGGCCUCCUCACUGAGCACAGAGUUGGGCGUCGCAAUCGCCUGAGUCGCGAAAACACUCCUCGCUCUCAACACCGUGUUGAAGUGCCCCCUCUGCCUCUCCGGAAACGCCAACGAAACUCCGCCGCUCCUACUGCUCGUCGCCGUCGUCGUCGCCGUUGUGGCGGCUGCUAGAGGAGCGGCAGCUCUUUUGUACAGCUCACAUGGAGUCUGGUAAUAUAUAGACGAAACUCCAAUGAUAGAAGUCAUGAGAUGGCUUGGGUAGGGGUUUACUCAAUUCGCUUCUUACAGUCCUACUUCUUCUUCUUCUUCUUCUUCUUCCCUGCAAAUUGGUGCAGGCUGCUAGAGAGAAGAAGAAAGGGGGGAUAGAGAAGCGGCUUGAGGAUAUUUCUAGGUUUGAAAUGAUAGAGAGAGCGGUGAAGGGUUUAGGUUUUAUAGAGAAGAAGAGGGUGAGGGAGUGUGAGAGUGAGAGGGAAGAUAAGGCCAGAGCAGGAAUGUAUGGCCUCCCAAACUUCCACCUCGGUUAUAUUUUGCUCUCUGAAUAUAUCGGAUAUUUCCCUUCGCGGGUCUUCCCGGUUUGACCUGAUUACCCGCCUCAUCGGGUCGGGUUCUGUAUUUUUCCUUUUCUUUUUCAUUUACUCAUUUGACAUCAAACUGCAAACAUCAGUUCAGGAUUAUGAUUUGUGCUACAAAUGAAUCAAAGAUCCCGAAUUCGGCAAUUGGAUUGGUUGAUGAUUUAGUUUUAAAAAUGGUGUACAUUUUUCUAAAUUAAAUGUUCAUUUGACAAACGAGUCAAGAUAUAUGUAGCUGUUCCGUCGCUAGUUUUGUGACUGUCGCAUGUGCCGUUUACAACUGAAAUACUUGUGACGUGUUAUUGGUCUUGUUGACGUCGGUUAUCUGACCCGCAACUAAAUCGGUUAUGUAAACACUGCGGUAUCUUAGAAGUUUACAAGUUGAUUACUGUCGUUAUUUAUUCUAGUCACGCAUAGAUUAUAGCGUGCGUGUAUACGGUUCAUAGUUACACACAUUAAAAGCAUAUGUAAUUUGAGGUCCACCACAUAUGAACCUUGUAUAUAUGAAGAUAAUGCGACUCUGUUUUAAAAGAAUAAAGGUAAUACAGUUUACAUAGAAAAAAUAAAACUAUAUCUCAUCAAGGACAGCAACAUCAAUAUGUGUCACCUAAAAUCUGUUUAUUUGUUAAUAAACCAAAUAGUACUGGGCGAUUAAGUUUACACUUGAGCAUUUUUUUAAUAUUGUUUUUAAAGAAUUAUAUGGAAAAUAGAAGCUUUUAGAAUAGGCGAGAUCCAACUUAAAUUACGAGGAUUAAAUAAUAACUAACCGACCGAACCUUGAACGUUGUAAAUUGGGGUAAAUACGAAGCAAUAGGCUUUUUCCAACCAACUCCGAAUUCACUCUCUCCCCCAUUAUAUCAUCUCUCCAGGAUAAAAUUUAGGAUUCUAAACACUGAAAAUUGAGGCCGUUUUUCUUAAUUAGUUGUAUCCAGCGCGACUGUGCGAGCUAGCCGCCAUUAUUGGCUUCCCCAAGCCAGUGAAGCAUUUCCCUGUGUUUCUUUCUUCUUCUUCAUCCUUCUCUCACCUUAUCGGUCCCGACGGUUUCACAUCUCGCGGGCAGAUCAGUCUUCGAUUUGGCUUCCUCGAUUCUUCUAGAAUUUCAAAGGUAAAGUCUCAGUCUUCGCUUUCCUUCAAAACCUUUGUUUUCUGGCCAAUUGAAAUUGACAUUUUUUUUUUUUACUGUUCUUCGUUCUCAAUUUUACUCUUAGGGUUUACGAAUUGUCAUACUGCGACUUUUCCCCUCACUCGCUUUCAUGGAAUUUCUGUAAUUCCAAAUAGAGCGAUUAGCUGAAGCCUACAGAGAAUAAUCGCCGCUGCUGAUUCCGAUCAGGUUUUCCUUCAUUACAUAACACUCUUAUUCUAAAAAUUUUAUGAUUUUUAUUGUUGAUGAUGUUGAAUAGAGCUUGUUUUGGGUUUUAGAAUAUUGAGAAUGGCGGAAUCGGUCCCAAUCUACCUGAGCAUUGUUGCCUUUAUCUGCACUGUUGGAGCUAUUGCUUUGGCGGUUUUGCAUAUCUACAGGCAUCUCAUGAACUACACCGAACCGACUUAUCAGAGAUACAUUGUUCGCAUCAUUUUUAUGGUCCCGGUGAGUGUUCGGAUCCGAUAAGCUUGCUCUGAAGUUCUAUGAUAUGUAUGAUUGGUAAUUUGGUAUCAUAUUGAUGUGCAACUAGAUUUGCAUAGUAGUUUCAUUAUUUAUCUGUUGCUGUUUUUUCCCCUUGCAUUGUUAUCUUGUACCUGUCAUCUAGAAAUUGUUAGGAAUGAGUUCUUAAAGAGAAUCUUCAGCAUAAAUGUACGAUGAUGAUGAUGAUGAUAAUACACAUGAUAAGGGGAUAUGCAUUCGUUAGCGUUUUGUCAAGUGUCAAGUAUCUGAUUUGCUUCUGUUCAUUCUAAUUUCUAUGGCCCUUGUUCACCUUUCAGUUUCACAUCAACUUAUUUCUUUCUGCUUUGGGCUUAAGAUCUUUUAGAUGUCACUCUUUCAUAACUCUAGUAUCGUUUGAAUUUGACCUGAGUAACCAGUGUGACCUUUGUUUCCUUGACAGGUAUACGCAUUAAUGUCUUUCUUAUCCCUCGUUAUACCUGCGGGCUCCAUCUACUUUAGUUCCAUCAGGGAAGUGUAAGUAUUUUCUUUUUCAUUUAUGUGAAUAAUUUACAGCAUGUUGUUAAUAUUUUGUUCAUGAGAGAAGUAGGAAACGGUCACUAAAUUUUGGUCUCAGCUUUACCUGCACAUGUAAAAUAUUUGUGGAUGGAUAUUAAUUAUCAGUGUGAUUCCAUAGGUUGAGAUUGUCUCUAGAAAAUAUUAGAGUCGCAGUUUGUUACUUUCAGAUCUCAUAUUAUCCAUCAGCUUUAAAAUACGAUGAUUAGAAUGUUAGGUGUUGUUUUCUACCAAGAAUGCAUAUCAGAAGUAACUUUUGGAUACUUGUAAGUUUUUUUUUGUUUAGUGCUAGUUCCAAUACUUCUGCCAUUGGACUGCACAGCUUUGUGUCGAAUUGACCAAAAUUCAUGCAGCAACAAUCACAGUAGUUCUGGUGCUAAGUACUUUCAUUUUAUUGCACUAAUUUAUAUUCAUUGGGUUGAUUCUGAAUAAAGCUUCUUUAUGAAAAACAGUAUCUUGUCAAAUUAAAUGGUCUGAAAUCAAUUGUUGAUUUGCCAAUGGUGGUAAAAGUAUUAGUGUCUGUUUAUUUCUUGCUGGGUUUUCACAAUCUAUAAUAUCUGAUCGUUUGUUCUCAUGUUAUUAUUAUAUUUUUCUUGUUUCAGCUAUGAAGCUUGGGUCAUUUACAAUUUUCUGUCGCUGUGUUUAGCAUGGGUUGGUGGUCCAGGAUCUGUCGUAAUAAGUUUAACUGGUAGGGUUAUAAAGCCUUCUUGGGCUCUGAUGACGUGCUGCUUCCCUCCCAUACCCCUGGACGGGUGAGUUCACAACCUAUGCUUGAUUUUUUUUUUUGUUCUUUUCAGGAUUUAUCUUUCCCUAGUUCAAAUUCUCAAGUACUAACUUUGAAUUUAGUAGUUCUUGGUAUCUAAGUUGUUAGAUGCAUUCUUACAAAUGUUAACGUUAACCACACCAAUGGCCUGAGCUAUAGGCCAUGUCUCAUUUGGUCUCAUCUUAGAUGCAAAAAGUUGCUUGGUUGACCCGAAGAUGGGUUUACUGUUUAGUUAAGACAGAACUACUGCUAAUUCCUCUGCAUACUUUGUUUCUCCUGCUGGUCUAUCUCUCUCUCCCCAAGAUGUGCCACGGUAGCCUGAAGCAGUUACUAUGUAGAAGAAUAAGCUGCUUCAUUCGUGGAACUUGAUGUAGGGACAUGAAAAGAUCAAGUAUCCAUGAAAUUGGCAAUGUCAACAAUUAAAGAUGCUUUGAUUCAUAACCGAUUACACCUACCAUGCUCAGAAUGGGCCAUCUUGCUGUCCAAUCAGAUUGACCCGGCCCUGGCCUCAUCUCCAGGUGUGCUGCAUGGAUGCCAUGGCAGCCGUCUACCAGGGGAGGAGGAGAGACAAGGGGAGAGGAAGAAAGAGAAGAAUUGGGCAAGAGGAGUGUGAUUAUGCCUGAAGUGACCAAAAUCAACCCAAAUGCCCCUUUGCAAAUUGAACAACGAACAUUGGGAUUUGACCUUACUACAUGUUACAUUCAAAAUUCAGGGCCAUAUGCAACUUAUGAAUUGUGGGUCCAAAAGACACAGUACAACCCAAAGCUUAAGAUCAUUGGUGUAAUUAACCCAUCUUACAAUUUACAACUUGCUUGCAUGAAAUCAGGCCUCUCUAUAUAGUUGGCUGAGUCCCUGCACUUGUCUCUGGCAAUAAUGGGGGUUUGAUGUCUUUCCCAACUAACAUAUGUCAUAGAAUCAUAGGAUUUUGUAUGUUCGAUGAACUCAUAUAUAUCAAACUAUGAAUGCAGGCGUUUUAUACGUAGGUGCAAGCAAGGUUGUUUGCAGUUUGUAUUUCUGAAACCUGCAUUAGCUGCUGUUACUCUGAUACUUUACGCAAAAGGGAAAUAUGCAGAUGGAAAUUUCAGUCCAAACCAGUCAUACCUGUAUCUCACUAUUAUCUAUACAGUCUCAUACUCGAUGGCUCUUUACGCAUUGGCAUUGUUCUAUGUGGCUUGUAGAGAUCUGCUUCAGCCUUUCAAUCCUGUUCCAAAGUUCAUCAUAAUCAAGUCUGUCGUUUUUCUUACUUAUUGGCAGGUAACCUUUCUUCUUUUUACUUUGAAAAUUGAAUGUCGUUAGUUACUUAUUGUUCAAUAUGUUCUCUUAGCUGCACAUGAUUGUAGAUCAUGAUUAUGCAUGAAGAAAGUCGAGAAGCAGUUUGGAUAUAGACGACUGCCUUGGCUUUGUUAUCAAUUUUUCUUUCAAUCUUCUUUCUAUUCACUGGAUGCUGCUUGAAACUUUGAAGUCUGUUGACUUUACUAUGGAAUAGCUAAUAGGCGGGUAGGAUAGUCUAGUGUAUACUAUAUAUUCUGCAGUUGCAAGGAUUACAGAAUCGAAUACUUGCAGAGGCUUGCUUGAGUCGCUAUGCAUUUUAUUUAGGUAUAUUUUUGUUUAGAUAGUCUAGUGUAUUUUUGCUCGAGUCGCUAUGCAUUUUAUCUGUUAUUAAUGCCAAACCUUAUUAAAAUGAACCAUCAUAUUCCCUCCAUAUUAACAGUUGGCUACUUGCAAAUUGACUCCAUAUGUUUCUGAUUCUUUUUGUCUGCCUUUUAGGGUGUGUUGGUUUUCCUUGCUGCGAAGACUGGAUUAAUAAAGAAUGCAGAAGAUGCUGCUCAAUUUCAAAAUUUCAUAAUAUGUGUGGAGAUGCUACUUGCUGCUGUGGGUCAUCUAUAUGCAUUUCCUUACAAGGAGUAUGCUGGUGCUAAUAUUGGUGCCUCUGGAGAUCUCACGGGAAGCCUUGCUCAUGCUGUAAAAUUAAAUGAUUUUUACCAUGAUACUGUCCACCAGGUGAGUCUCUCAAAUUGUUUUUAUUAUCAUAGAUGGUUGUCUUUCUCAACCUUCUUGAUGUUCAGUAUAUUUUAACUCUCUGCAGUUUGCCCCGACUUACCAUGAUUAUGUACUCUACAACUCUUCUGAGGGUGACGAGGGAAAGAGAAAGUAUCGAUCACGCACAUUUGUACCGACUGGUCCAGAGAUGGAUGCUGUCAGAAGGAACAAGAACAUCUUUGGCAACAAGCUAGAUGAGAUACAGCUUUCCAGUCUCUCAUCUUCUAGUACAAGCACUCCCAAUGAUUCUGGCCGGAUGCCUGUGCCUGUGCCACCUCCAAACUCAGAUGCAAUGAACUCUUCCCUGCUCCUUGAUACCUCAAAUUCCUCGUCAGUGCCAUAUGACAUGUCACUUAUCGACUUGGACUUGUCCAGUUAUCCCACAAAGGUUCUUCCAGCAAAUGAAGGCACUAGGUGACUAGAACACUGUGUUAGACAGGUUUGAAGUUCUCCCUAGGAAAGAAGUGUUAACGGUUUUCGGGGCCUUUGGGAAAGCCUCAUGUGCUUAAUCAUUUGGUGAUGCUGGUGUCGGUACCCUCUCUUCAAUUAAAUUCUUCGGUUAAAUCACUUCGUGCACUGUAGUCACAAAUAUUAGGCUUCCCGCUGAAAGCUGUUUUAAUGGCCUGUUAGUUCAGUGUGCAUUGUAGAUAUGGAAUUCUAAUUGUCAUACGUGUUAGAUCACAAUAGGAAACAUGAAAUUGAUACUAUUUCUUUUUUGACAUUGAAGAGUGCCCAUUGGAUUUCAUCAACUUGGUACUGAAGUAUUUUUUUAGUCGCGAUUUGUUCCUGUUUGUAAUCUACUUCUUUUUGUCAAGCAAUGGAACUUCACACAAGAAGCAUAGGAAGGGUGCAGUGUUUUUCUCCUACUCUCCAACACAUCUUUUGCCAGUCACAUAUUGUCAUAUAUGCAUCCAUUCUAUUUGUACCAGUGCAAAUCAAGGAUGUUGUGCUCUAUAUUUCCAUAAUGUUUGCCUGUUAAAUGAUCUGAUUCCCCCGUUUAUGUCAUUAAGGAAUAAGAGUUUGUAUUGCACAAUCCAUCUCUUCUCAUUCCUUGGAAGCAACUCUAUGUCAUGAAUGAUUUGGGCAAACAAUAUCCAUAUUGCUGUGCAGGGUCUCUGAAGCGUGUACAUUUGAUUUUCCUUUGUUAUUGAAAUGAUGGAUCAGUUGAUGAGACUUUGAUAAUUGAUACUGAUAUAUAUUAUUAGAUAACAAGAUGACGAUGCAGGCUGAUACUACUUAAUUUCUGAUAACAACUCCAGGACUAUUAGUGUCUUUCCCUUCCAAUGAAAGUGAAAUGCUUCUGGGUUGUAGAGGAGUCUCAUGACUCUUACUUUUCAAGUUGGCUGCAAUGGUUUAGAAUUUUGGUUACACGGUUUGAUGAGUUGGAGAAGAAUUUUAUCUUUGUAUUAUCUUGAAUGUCAAGUAUCGUCGUCGUAUGACUCUUGGUGCGUCUGCUUUGAACCUUGAGAGUGAGAGGAUUUAGGUGUUGUGAUUUACACGACGACUGUAUGAGAUACAUGAUACAUGUACUGAUGGUGAAACUUGCAUUAUGUACGGGUUGGUUAAGACUAUCUGCUUAAUACUCAUCUAUUGAACCUGUGUUUGGUAUUUGACCUUUUAGAUUGUUAGCCAAUAUUUCUCAUCUUACGCAAGUCCCCUCGUAGCCCUGGCUUAUCUGUAUUAUUGCUCUUGCUGCUUCUCCAAACAACUCAACGCUAGUUUUAUAAUCGGUUUUAAAUCAAGCUCGUAAAUAUCUAUUAAGAAUCUCAUAGAUGAUUGAUUUGUUUUAUCAUGAGUUUUAUCUAUGAAAUUCAGUUUUAGCGGGCUAUAGGGGUAAUGUUCUUGACUUCUUGGCCUCUAGAGCUGUGGUAACCAUUGUUGAAUGUGGAAGAUAGUUUAGUUAGGGACUCUAGUCAAGCUAUGAAAUGAACCUACUGUAGAAUCACACCACUAAGAGUUGUGAAGAGGGGUGAGAUCCAACAUUAGGUGCUAAUGUGGAUCAAUGGCACCCUAGAUUAUCAUAUAACAUUGAUCUGGCAUAUGAGAUACCAGAUCGGGUAGUCUUACAUAGAAAUAUUAUGUCGUUUGACGCUCAAUGUUUAUGAACUUUUUAUCGCUUAAUAUUUAUGAACUUUACAGCUCAAGUUCCGCACUCUUUGUCAGAAAAACUGUAGUAAAUUUGCAAUUAGCUAACUCGAACAUAAGAAGAUUUAACAACCAAUGAUGAUACUGCACGGAUGUAGGAAAUCCACAAUUAGCUAGAAAGUUGAGUUUGAUGGCAUCACCAAAGACUAAACUCCUCAAUUGCCAUGGCACUGUCCAAAGUACAUCAAAGACCUUAGAUGAAGUCUAGAAGUUGAAAAGAUGAAAAUGAAGCACCAGCGUCACGUGACCGUCCAUCAAACCACGUGUUAAAGCAGCUCUAUUAUAUAUAACAUCAUCCUAAUAGAAAAGCCAGAGAAGAAAAGGUUCCCCAUAGCAAUAAGCUAAGCUAAGAAGCUAGUCUGUCUUGGCUCCUGUGGCGGCGCUUUGCUCGCUUGCCAUGUAAAGCAAACACUCAAUGACUUAACCAGCACUUGUUCUUAGAACUUAUACAAAUCCCAAACCCUUUAUAAUAUUUCCUCUUCUUUCUUCUUCGUCCUCCAAAUCUCAUAUCAAACACAACCCUUGAGCCAAAACCUACACACCCUCUCUGUCUCGCUCUCUGUUUCUUCAGGUUUGUAGCACUUCAUGGCCGGUCUGUGGGAUCCCCAUCCGAACCCUACUCUCAGCAGAACCACCUCAACAAGUAGUACUAGUAGCUUUGGCUUUGGUGGGUACUUAAUGGAUCAUCAGAGCAAUACUCAGAGCUGUUAUAACUACGUGAUGAUGGAGAAGAUGGAGAAGAGGCAGCUUUUUCUUAGAAGCUACCAGUUCUGCAGGAAGAAGAGUCUGGCAGAGAAGAUCAAAGGGUCUUUGGUUAAAGUGAAGAAGGUCAUAUGCUUGAGGCUGCGUAAUGCUAAGAAGCUUAGGAAAUCUGUGUGCUUUAGACUCCGGUAUGGAUUCUCUUUCCGGCGAAGAAGACUAUGCCGGCUCUUGAAUUACUACCGCCAUAACAAGAAAUGCGAUAACUCCUAUUGCUUCUGGUAGAACACAACUCCAUGUUAACUACUUGCUUAAUUUGUUAGUUUUUUUUUUCUUUCCACGAAAUUUGUUGUUAUAUCCAUGAGUUGAUUAUUAAUAUACAUGAUGGUGAUUCACUGAUUUGGGGUGAUAUAUAUAUUAUUAGAAACUUGUACAUGUUAUUUUCGAUGUGAGAAUCCCAAAAUAGUAUAAGUGUAUAUAUCUAUGAAAUUGAGAGUUUCAAAGAGAAAAUGGAAUGGAGCCAGACCAUGUUUUCUGGGUUACACACUAUGUUUGAGGUCCAGUUUGGUACCUGAAAUAGUUGUUUUAGCUGGUGUCCAUUGCAACGAGCCAAAUGGGAAGGAAUGAAAUCUGUGCAAAACAUGUUCAAGGUUUGAACUCUCAAGGGAGGGAGGGUGGAAUUUGGAAACCCAAAAAGGUCAAGCAUUUCUGAAUUGAUUCUUUGAAUGAAAGGUAAAGGAGCAAAGAAAAGAAGAAGAGUGGAAGAUGAGAGAGCAGAAAAGUCUUUAUUGGGCAACUGUGACUUUCACACAUUGCAUGCGCUUGGACUGUGGAUACAGUUGAGUCACAUACCCAAAAACUCUUUUGGCCAUUUUUUUCUUAGUUUUGGGUGUUGCACUUUGUCACUUUAAUCCCUUUUUCUUAGUGAUCGACUCAGCAGGAGUGCCAUUCUCAACCAUCCAAGCUUUGUCUUCACAGGCUCUGCAUUUUUCAUUUAAACAUGGAACAUUCCCUACUAGAUUUCUCUGAUCUUAAUGGAUCAGCCAUUGUCCGUGAACGAAAAAGUGAACCACACUUCUUCCAUUUCCAUUUUCCUUUAGAAAUCAAGCUUGACGAACACUAAAAAAGAUAUCCGUUUACCAUUUUUGAACACCUCUAAUCCGCGAAUCAAAUGAGACUUACAUUAAACCUUGUUUUUAUCCAUUAUGUUAUUAAAGAUUCAAUCUUUAUUAGAAACUUAUGUUAUAAACAUUGUAAUGGUCCUACAAGGCGGCAUGGUAGAGCAAGCUCUGCCAUUGAUAUAAAUAUGAACAAUAAGGCAUGGCCCUUAUGGCAGACUUUUCAUUAAACAUCCAACGUCGGAUAUAGGUAGAAUUGAUUGAUAAAUAUAAAACCAGGUCGGCCGAUUAUUCAAUAUUGAGCUACAUUCUGCAGUAACAUGACAGAUGUGGUGGAAUAAAAGAGCUUCAUCAAAAGUGGGCAUCUUUGUUCAUCUUUAUGGAGUGGCUGGGAGAGUGGAGCAUCUCAAAUUGCAGAAGAUUUCUUUUCUUUCUUUGGUCGGCUUUGAUUUCAUAAGCUGACAUAGACAGAUCCCAUAAUCUGUUCUUUGUGCUAAAAACUCGUAUGGGAUAUAACUCCUUUCUGGAAAUAAAAUACAAAUUAGAAAGAAUGAGAGAGUUUGUUGUUUAGCACAACUCAUGAAGAUGACUAUGCUAGUUGUGACAUUUUUACUUAAUAACUUGGCGCAAGAAAAGGAUGUAUGGUUCUACAGAGCCCAGCAGUGCUUAGCUGCUUGGAGUUUUAUAAUAGUUCAUUUGGUUACGUAUGAGAUUGUCUAAGAGCUACGCAAGAAAAAAGAUGAUCUCUUUCUGAGUUUCUGGCAUGUGUUUUCCGAUCAAGAUAUUUGGUUCCAUAAGAUCAGAUUGAUCGACUUAGCUGUGCAUACAUAUAUAUUAUUGGUUAGCCUGCAAAGUCAACCAGAUUAAAGAACUGUGUGCAUGCUAACGGUAACAUUCUGUACUUGCUAAGCAAGAGUAGAUCUAACUAGGAGUCUGCAUGUUCAUUCUUACCCUAGAAAGUUAAGAUCAAGUUGAAUUCACAAGUAUUAGAAAGGUAUGAACACAUGAGGUUUGAGCUUGAGACAAAGUCUAUAUACUUGCUAGCUUCACCACUAGCAAUGUUCCUCAGUUCAGUUCCCAAUCUACAACUAAUGAAUUCAGAAACUUUUUUGGUUGUUGGUGUGGUGAUCAAAUUCUCGAGUGUAUUUAGCGAUGUUGGAAAGUGUAGCUUAAAUUAGAGUUUUUGAAGUCUCACAUUAAAAAAGUGAAAAAUCAUCUAAAACCGAGACAUUUGAAGAUCUUAGGCCCAUUUGUCUUUUGAGUGAAUAAAAUGGAGAGAGAAUGGUGGAUAUGUUUGUGUUGGGCAUGUUCUCUGUGGUCUCCCUGUGGAAUUCAGGAAUCUAAAUUCUUUAUAUCAUUUUAGGCUUUCUUUUUUGGUGAGAAAUCAUUUAGCAUAGCUGAAUUCUGAAACUUUUUUAGGUGGUGGGUGUGGUCAUCAUAUUCUUGAGUGUACUUAGCAGCUCCCUAGUUUGUUUUAUAGGAUCUUUCCCUCUUUUGUGGACUGGGAAGUUUUGAGCUGCCCAAUAUGAAGAAGGGGCUGAACCAAUGUGAAUUGCUGCAGGUUUUCUGGUAAGACCAAAACAAGUUGCAGAAAAAUACAAAAUGGCCCCCUAUCAAUUGCAAAUGCCAACCAUUGUUUUCUUCAAUGUGAGACAACUUAGACUAACAGAUCAUGUUCUUGACUUGAUUAUGGACUCGCUUGGUUUAGAUGAAUAAACAAACAAGUAAUCAGGUCUCAGCUAAAUAAGAAUUCAUAAAUAUCAAGAUGGCAUGAGGCACCUAUGUAUGUUUGUUUCACCAAUACCAAACUACCACUAUUCCUCAGUUCAGUCCCAGUCUAGAUCUAAUGAAGGCAAAUUAAGACUGGAAUUCAUUUCAGAAACUUUUCUUGGUGUUGGGUGUGAUGAUCAAAUUCCUUUUUGUAUCUACAACUAUCCAAUUUAUUUCUUACGCUAAUCUCCUUCAUUCAUGUGAAGCAAUGUGGAUUGUGAAAUUUGAUCUGCCUAAUAUAUAUGAAGAAAUCCUGAACCAAUGUUUUGCUGCAGAAUUUCUAGUGUGACUAAAACAAGGUGCACAUAAAUACACAAUGACCCCUAAGUUAAACAAUUGCUAAUACCAACCAUUGUUUCUUUCAAUGUGGGACAAAUUAGACCAGAAGAUCAUAGCCCUGACUUGAUUAUGGCUCACUUAGUCUCAGAUUAAUAAACAAACAGCUAAACCAGCUUUUAGCUAAAGAUCACAACUGCAAACCUUACUUUCAUCAGAAAAUGAUUGGCUUUGAUUUACCUCCUAACAUGGUUAUCAAUCAUUUGCACAUGCCUCUAAUAUUCCUUUUCUUCAUAAGACAAGCACUCUUCUGCAUUUAAAAACCUAAGAGAGGCAGAGCAGCUUACAAUCACUGAGGUGGUUAUGGAUGUGGUGGUAGCCAUGUGUUAAAAAGUAGAAAUACCAGGAAUUGUAUCAAUGUACCUAUCUCUGAUUCUAGAUAUACAGAGUAUAUUGAGCUAGAAUAUGUAGGGUGAUAGAUACAUUACCUCCAUUCAUUCCAACUAACUCUUCCUCUAUAAAUAUCCAUACCACACACUUAAAACAAAAAUCCUAUCAUCUCAACUCUCUCCAUUUCUCUUCUCUCUUCUUGGUCAGAUGGGUUUACAAGACUUGGAUGGGGGAGGUUUGAGAUUUCAAUAUGAGAAGCUUCGCAAGAGGAAUGAGAAGAAUGGCAGGUCUGGAAGACAUAUUUGGGUGAAGAAGAUGAAUGGAAGGCUAAAGGGUUUUCGUCUAUCACGCUCUAGGAAGUUCACUUUGAAGGUUUUCUCAGUAGUGUGGCCAAGCAGGAUUGCAAGGAUUUACAGUGAGAUAGUGAACAGACUGAAAAUAGAUGGAGUUUAUCCCAAUAUUGUUUUCUGUACUCAAUGGGGGCUUCCAGUUCUAUCUCAUUCAUCAGUUAAAUGUAGGGAGACAGUAGCAAAGGCUCCCUAUGCUAGGAGCUGUAUCAAAUAGCAUUCCUCUGGAUUCAGUUGUAUAUCAGCUUCCUCAGUUAAUACAAUUGCUUUUCUUACUUUUUCCUAUUGGCAUUCUUUAUACUGCAAUUUACAGAAUUUACAGUUCACUAAGAAAACGUAAUUGCCUCAAAAUUAUAACCUUAGUCAUCAUUUCACCAUGUUUAUCCAUUAAUCUUAUAAACACAGCCUGAUAUAACCACUUGCUGCCUUGUUGGUGUAUUCAUGUUUUCUCAUAUCAUUACCUAGCUGCCAUGCAGCUUCAGACUUUCAGUAUUAUUUGUUACAUGCCUAGCCUUCAGCUCAAAUUCGAUUAUUAAGAAAUCACUUAUUUCUAAUUGAUUAAUUACUGUCAAGGCAUUAGUUAAGAGUAUGUUGAGAUAUAUAUCCCACAUCGGGAAAAAUGAGAUAUUGUCUGUGGUUUAUAAGGGUUUGGGCCACUCCAUUUAUUGCCAAUUGAUUUUGGAUGUGAAUCUCAGACUACUUUAUCAACAUCACAAAUUGUGAAGAUAGAUAGUAAUUCUAAGAUACUAAUUACAUGUCAAGGCAAUGUUUAUAGAGUUACUUGUAUAAGUUGAACGCAGGCAACAAUAUUUCUCUUACAGUUAUUACAAGCAAAACAAAAUCAGUAUUGGAGGACUCCACCCAAUUAAACUACCUCUUAGAUGCAAGGCCACUCAUGGCGAGCAAAUAAGAGUCUUUGAGGCUGAAAUUUGGCAUGGGAAAGUGCCUUGUGAUCAUCUCCUUUGAUCGAAUCUUCUUCUCAUUUUUCGCCAGGCACCAUACUCUUGGCGGCGUAAGGCUUUCCUCACAAGUCUCUGGCUCUUCCUUGAUAGUUGCUAGCUUGCUCUUGAGUAUCUCUUCAAUGUCUUUCCAGGAAUCAGUUCUCAGAAACUUUCUUCUCAUGCAAGGCACCACCCUCCACAUUUUUCGAUAUGCCUUCAUCCUCAUCAGCUAGCUAGAAGAACACUAACUAACAAUCACCUACAAUGGUAGAAAACUAGAAAUGCUGCCAUGUCAAUUGAUUUAGACCAUUAUCAAUGCUCGUGUACUCGUUCAUAUUUAUAGAGAGGUAAAGUGGGUGCAAUAAGGGUUGCAUUAGUUGGAAAGGCACACUAAAGCCACAGCAUUUGCUCCUUUACAGCGAUUUUGGUUCAACUAUAAUUGAGUUUUGGUUAGAUAACCUUUAUAAGUGAUAAUCAUGAAGUUAUAAGCCUACCAAACCCCUAAUAUAUGGAAAACAACAUGAAAUCCGUUUUUCUGGAGUUGGAAGUUUAUAUUAUCCUGCUGAUUCGUUCUUUCAGCCACUUAUCAAUAGAUGAUGAUGAUUGAUGAACAAGGAAAGACAUGUCUGCUACUACAACUUUCAUGCUUGCCACUUUGUCCCUGGAAAGUUGAUGUUAUUUCUACUGUGUUUUAAAAAUAAGAAACUGAACUUAAUUACUAGGAUGUGCAGUUUUCAUUCUCCUAUGACUGCCAUGCCAUGGUAUGCCAAGCUAAAUCUUGGGUGAUCGUUAGCCAAAACAAAAGUUCUGGGUUAUUACAAGGAGCGAGAUGUCUAGGCCAUUGUCGAUGAUUUUGAAGAGUUCGACAGGACAAAUGCAACUCACAGUCACACGUACAGUGUCUGAAAUUUGCCUUGAAUGAUUUCUUUAGAAAACUUUUGCUUAAAAAGUAUGAAGCAUAUUCUGUUGGGAGCAGAAUUUUAUGAGACGUUCUUUGUAAUAAGCAAAAUGUCUUAAACCUUAAGCUUAAGGAAACCAAAUAUAGUUUCUUGCUAAAUCGAAAUGUACUGUGACUUGUCUAAAUGCCUGCUUGCUAACAGCCGGCCCCUAUGGUUGUCAAGACCCUAGACGUUAAAGUGAGAGCUCAAGACACGCCCCUCCUUCGCCUUGCCUCAAGGCCGGCACUGCUUGCUAAAGCACACAAUUUCUUAUUUUUUUUUUUUUAUUUUAGGUUUCUUAGUAUGAAUGUUACAGUGAGAUGCAAGUGAUACCCAAAAAAUCGAUUCAUCUACCAAGAGGCAACCAAAUGGUUCUUUAAUCAUCAAACACAAAUAUCUAAAAAGAGUGAUGGUGACAAUCAUAAGUCGAAGUUCAUAAAUGAUAAUUUCACAUGUAAAAAUUUCUAAAAUUAGAUAAUAUAGAUGGAAACAUUUUGUAACAUAAACCAAGUUUUAAACAUCAAUGGUUUCAAGUUUGCAAUUUUGUUUUAAAACUUUUUAUUGUAUUUCCUCUAAAAACAUUAAUAAUCAAUUAUGACCUCAAUUCAAACCAUGAAGUUGAAGUCUUACUCUAGAAAACACUGUUUCCUUGUAUAUUACUAAAUUCAUCAAUCAUUGUGAAAGGUAUGUGCUCACCACUUCGAAGAUCAAAGAAAAAACAUUAUGCCAAACUAUGAAUAGGAUGAUUAACCUUUCACUGUCAAGAAACAUUAUGCCAAAUUACUCACUAAAUAACACAAGAUAAUCGCAUUUAGAAGACUUGAGAAACGCACUUAGCCAUUAAAAGCCCUCUAUAAACUAAUACAAAUACCAGACGCUACCUUCAAUUUCAGCCAUCACAAAUCCACCACGUAGUUCUCUACGUGUUCACAUAGAAUCAGAGACAAUUAAGGAUUUAAUUUUAAAUCCUAAUUUCUGUUCCUACAGUCCACGAAACUGUAGAACCAGUCGAAUUUUCUGACCCAACACAAACACAGUUUCACUUUCACUCCUUUCUCCUACAACCUCGCCGGAGAAACCGAGCUUCCCUUCAAUCUGUAAUAGUCUGUAAAUCUCUCAUUUAUUCACAUAAACUCUAACUUCAACUCUAAUUCCUAUCUGGGUCGCCUUCUUUUUCUUCUCUAGUCCAACAUUUCUGAUCAAAAUCCAAACUUUAUUGAUUCCUGUUGCUGCUUUAUUGGCUCCUAUUGUGUUGAACUGUGAUUCAAUCCAACUCUCUUCUGGGUUUGUUGCUUUUGGUUUACUGGUCCAACAUUUGUGAUCAAAAUCGAAACUUUAAUGAUUCUUAUUGGUGCUUUGACUGCUUUCUGGGUUUUUGAGUUUAACAAUUGUAGAAAUAUAGCUGCAUAAAAUUGAUGUCUGUGCUUGAUAAAGAGAUAUCAAGCAGUAGUAGAGAUUGUGGGGAUGAUGAUGGUGAGGAGGAGGAGGAUGAAAAUGGUGCCGGGGUCAAUGAGAGAUGCAGAUGCAAAGCCAAGGAUGGAAAGAAGCAGAGUAGUGGGAUUGGGUUUACAAGGAAUUUGGGGAAGGCCAAACAGGUUGUACUGUCUCCAUUCACAAAAGCCAAGAAGCAAUUGCCUAGAAGACACAGGGCUGCUGCUCCUUCCUGUUCACCGUUUGCUUCAGGUAAGAGGUUUGGAGCUAGUGGAGGUAAUACAGGAUGUUACUUAUGUUUCAUGCCAUCAUUAACUGUGGAUUCAUCGGCUGAGUCUCCCAGCAGCGAUCCGAAUAGCCCGAAUUUUAGUUAUGGGAAGUUGAGGAGUUUAAUUGAGAAGAAUGAUUUCUAUUCCAAAGAAUGCAAUUACCAUUUAAACUUUGAUCCUGAAUCACCAAGCUAGAGGUUGAAAGGCAUUGCUUUCCGAUUUGUACAAUGGCUAAUGCUGUUGUUGUUUGUUGUGUGGAAGUGAUCCUUGAGGAUUUUCCCAAGAGCAGUUUGAGAGGUUGUAGAACUUGCAUUUAUAAGAAAAGUGUCAUUGUUUUGAAGUUGGAAGUGAAGUUUUUUGCGGCGUUUUGUUGUCUUGUGUUUCAUUGUGAGAAUGAGAGCCUGAGACAAUGCUGGUGAUAGAUGUUCAGUCAUUUAGUGCAGGUUUGUUUCAAGAAUGUAUGCCAAACAAGCCCUAGACAACGGAUGGUAAACCAAGAUUGGUUAGCAGUUCAUGUCUCUUCACUUGGGAAUUCUGAUUCCGAAGUUUUGUUGUUAGGCUAUGGUUCAGAAUCAAAGCCUGUUAAUGAUUCAAUAUCUAUGGACAACCGCUUGCAGUGUUACAUUUUUGGUAAAUAUAUGCAGUACUACAUUGCUACUACAUUGCUUUGUGGACAAGUUGAAUUGUUUGUUUAAUGUCCUAUAGUUAUCUCUAAUGCAAAUUUUUGGCGCAAGUAUGUGCUGCAAUGUUGUAGUCCACAUUUACAUAUGAAAGAUGAAAAGUACAUUAAUCAGUUGUAGGAGUGGAAGAGGUUGAAACCUUUGUAUUCUUUCAAUUUGUGAACUCAUAUAACCUCUCGGUUUAUGUGGUAUUGUCUUGUGAUGUUUUGUGGCUACGUUCAAAAUUUUAUCCAACUGAGUUUGGGGUGAACUAGGUUUUACGUAUGAAAGAAAAAGACUCCUUUGAUCAAUUGUAGGAGUGCAAGACGUUAAAAAUCUUUCAAUUAAAAUUUGUAAAUUCAUCGGCACCUUGUUUCAUGUGGUAUUGUUUUCUGAUAUUGUGUAGAGAAUAGAGCUCAAAACUUUCUCAAUCAAAUGAGCAAAGUUCGGGUUCUUCAUUGAGAGGCAUAUUGCAUAAGAUGUUGCAGUCAUUCCAAGUACCAUCUACGGUAUGCACUUUCCUGCCUUUACUUUCUUUUAUAUGCCUUGGGUCUUGUGAGUGAAUCUCUUUUAGACUGCAAUGAUGAAGAGUGGAGUUAAAUCUUUUCGACUAUAUAGCUACAUUUCCAUUGCUUUACGCUUCUCUAAACACAUAAGUAGUUCUUAGCAUAAACUUAAAUCAAGCAGCUGCUCCAAGAAGUAAUUGUUUGGACAGGAAACCAUUUUAGGCUCUAAUUUGUAUCUUUGAUAAACAAUUACUUAAUUAGACUACUUGUUAAAUAAUCUUAGAUUUAUAUUCAUACUUUUGUGAAAUUUGUGAAAUAUCUCCUGGUGAGUGGACAGAAUUGUAAAUUUUCUUCAAUGGGGACUCCUAUUUCCAGAAAUAUCUGGCUUUACUUCUUUAUAGGCGUUUGGUCCUGUGAAUGGACUUCUUUUAUUCUUAUUGUAGAAUCUUUCUUGAAUGCAAAAAUUAGUUGUAGAACUCUUUUGAACUGUCAUGCUUUUUCUUGCUACUUCAAACACCUCAAUGAUUUGGAGCCUAAAGUUAAGUCAGGCAGUUAAGCAGUUUAAAGGCUUUUAAAUAGUGGAGUAAGUGUUGAAUAAGCAGUUUAGAUUAUUUGGUUUUGUAUUGAAGAUAAUUUAGAUGACACAGUUGAAGUAAUGUUUAUGGUUUGUUAUUUCUCAUGAGACAGACUGGAUUCCCAUUUUGCUCUCUCACAAUUGUUUUUAAUCUUAAAAUCUUUGCAAAAUCUUAGGUCAUUUGUUAAAGCAUAUUGAAGUUUGCUUUUUAUAUACACAGGAGUUUUAAUCAAUACUAGUAACAGGGCCAUCUUCUCGUAAAGACAUAAGUUGGUUUAAUUCAGUCGUUGGUUUGCACUUUCCAAGAUAUGUUGGAGUGCUGAAAGGAGGGACAGAGUUGGUUAAAAGUGUGUUGAAAGCUAUCUGCUUAAAUGUAAUUCCUUGCCAUAGAAGAUCUUUCUUUUGAAAUAAACCUUUAAGUGAGAUUCGGAUAUGAAAUGAUCCUAGCUAGACUGAUAUGAUGGAAGUACUGGCUUCCAGCUUAUGAGUGCAGUUUCUUUGAUACAUCACUACGUUUUGCAAUCCUCGGAAGCUACUUAUUUCAUUUCUGGUAAUAAAUUCAUAGUUCACAGACAUGUUUUUGUUCUGGUUACAUUGCCACGCAAAGCCAAGCAGUUAUGUACUUAUGUUACUGUGAAAAAUGUCACUGGAUAGCUUCUCAUUCUAUGGAGCUUGAAAACCAAUGUGAGAUAUAAAAGCAUUUACCUUCUCCUUCAAGCAUGUGCUUAGGGAGGUGAAGGUCUGGCUUAGGAGGUGGGAAAGACCUCCCACCUGAAUCUCCUUCCUGCUCUGAACUCUUAGUUUGGGUCAUGUUCUGUGGGAGAUUUCCUUAUAGUGGUGUAUGUAUUGUUCCUUAUCAAAAUAUAUAGAAAAGUAAAGGCUUCCUAUUCUGAUGGAUAAACCAAAUUGCCGCUUUAUUGCAAAAACAAGAUUAGAUUGCCGAAAGCAUAUGGUCCGCACCAAGAAAAUAUCUGUGUGAUUAUGUCAAAUCCAGGAAGAGUCCCCCAAUACACUAAUAGGAACCCAAAGCAUGGAACGUGCACAGCAUGGAAUGAAGUGGUGAAAUUUAAUGCAGUAUGGGAGAAAAUUUGUUCCCUUCCUAGUUGUAAGCAACUUCCAAAUUGUAGACUUCAUCCCCACACAAGUGGUGUCACCUCCAUGAAUAUAUGGGAAUGUUACAGCAAAUAUAUGAGAAUGCUACCAUAGAAUGUUACAGCAAUACAAGCAAUUCUGGUCGCUUCAUGAACCGGCAUUUACAUUGGAGUUAUCGAAAAAUGUGAUUAACCGAAGUAAGCGGUUUUCAUUCUACUAAAAGAUGCGAUUAACAAUGUGAUUACCGGUUAGUGAACAUAAGAAAAUGGUCGGCAAUGUGAUCAGUAUCACAUCUUUACGCUACUAUCGACAGCUACCGGAAAAUGGACAUCAGAAAAGGAGAGGUGAACACUACACUCUUCUCAACCUUUGUAUUGAGCCAAAUAUGGAUGCAGUGGAGUUGCUUUGGUAUCUAGUUCAAAUACCGACUACUGAGACAAUGAGUGACUGACUGUGAUACCAUCCAUACCAAUUGCAGCCAACUCAUUGACUCAUUCUGCAGAAAGAAAUCAAAACAAAGUUGCUCAUAAUUUUCCAUUUCAAGAUAGGAUAAAGGUAAAAGGAUGGCCCCAAGAUGGCAAUAAAUAUACUUCUAAUCAAAUAAAGGAGAUAAAAAGGGCAAAGCCAUAUGUGCAAGUAUGGGCCAAAAUCUAGUAGUGCGCGUUAGAUGCCCUUUUCCUAGGGUAAUCUGACCCUUAAACAAAGGGACGAGCCGGCCAACACCAAACUCUCAGAAGAAUCAGAUAAAACGCAGCAGGAUUGGGCUCCCCUCCACGUGACUACCAUAAGUCAUUACUCUCUCUCUUUUGUUGGUUUCCUCCAGAAAAGGCAUGGUCUUCUGUCCCAACUCUUCUCUCUGUAACCCAACUUCUCAGUUCCCCAUUAUCAGUUUAAUCUCAGUAGUGAAACCAUGAUUAGCUUACCCACUUUGAGUUAUUAUAUAUUAUGUUGGGUUUCCACUGCUAUAAGUUAUAGGGAUGUGAGAGCUUACUAUAUAGGGAAAGGCGCGGCAGACCAAUCCAAAGCCAACCCACUUGUCCCCUCCAGCUACACCCCUCUUUGGAUCCAUUUCUUGUUGUGGACCCAGUCUGGGUUUUUUAUGCUUUCUAAAUUUGGAUCAUCUUUCCCUUGUUUAAUUAGUAAAGGCGGUUCCUUCAUAUACUGGUUUAGUACUUGAAGCUGCUGCUGGGCUGUGAAACUGUGAAAGCAGAGAAGAGACAGAGAAGACGGUGAUCGAGAAUAGUGUGGGGGCUCUGUUUCAAAGUUUGAUACUUUAUAGGACCCAGCUUUGCAUUUCUUGCUACCAGUCAAGUUUUCAAUCUCUAUAAGUUGAGGGUCACUUCUGCAUCUGAAAGCUACAGAAGUUCUCUGCUUACUGCAGCUUAAAAAGGUUAGGCUGCUUUCAUUUUUUUGCUCAUGUUCUAUUUUUUUUCUAGCAAAGUUCUUUUAUUUUCUUAUUUUUGACGCUUAGUUGUUACUACAGUAACUAUGGCUUCUUUGACUGAUUUGGUAGUUGUUUUGAGCUUAGCAGUUUUAUUCUUUGGGAUUCCAUUGAUGAACUAGUUGAUUCUGAAUUGGUUGUGUAAGAAUCAGUGUAGCUUGGUAUUUUUUUUUUUUUCUUCUCUAGUUUCAGUGAGGUUUUUGAAUCCCUGUUCGUGUUGUUCAAUUGCUUUCUGUCGGCAGUGGUCAACAGGUUAAAGAUCCUUAGAUUUGAGUGAGGAUAUGUCUUGCUUUUGAACUUUUGAGACCUUGAUCACGAGUUAUGCAAGUCUAAGUUGCAAACUGGGCAAGUUAUAGUUUGCGGGAGUUGGUUGAGAAACUGUUGUCAGUUUUGUUAGUGGUUGUGAUAGUGACUUUUGAGUAGUCACAAGUAAGAUGGAAAGCAACAAUCAUUUCUGGACAAAUUUUAGCGAUUGUGGUAGCCUGUUAGAUUGUUAUUCCUUGAAGAAAAGGGAUUCUAGAGCUUCCUUUGGAAAUGUUUUUGAUUCAUUUCUAUAAUAGUGUUGUGCUUGUUGUGCCUGUUGUAUUUGUUGUAUAAGUUUUCCUCACUGCAGAAGUUUUACAUUAAGCUUUAUGAGUAUUGCCAUUUUAGGAAUCAUGCCUCUGCUCCUGAUUCAUACUUGUAUUACUUUGAUGAUCGUAGUGGUAAUAGUUAUGAUGGAACUAAUAUCAAACAUAAGUAGCGUAUGUAAUUAAUUCUAGUAAUGUUUUUCAAAAGGUUGAACAUUAUUUUGAUUACUGGUAUUUUUGUUUUCACUGUGCAGUUUAUGUGAGAAUGUCGUCUUCAAGACCCAGUCACUCAUCCAGCAAUUCAGGGAGAUCAAGACACAGUGCUAGAGUUAUUGCUCAGACAACUGUAGAUGCAAAGCUUCAUGCAAACUUUGAGGAGUCGGGCAGUUCCUUUGACUACUCGAACUCAGUGCGUGUUAGCAGUGAAGUUACUGGGGAUCAACAACCUAGGUCUGACAAAGUGACCACUGCUUAUCUCCAUCACAUACAGAAAGGGAAGCUGAUCCAGCCAUUUGGGUGUUUGCUAGCCUUAGAUGAUAAAACAUUCAGGGUCAUUGCAUACAGUGAGAAUGCCCCUGAAAUGCUGACUAUGGUUAGUCAUGCUGUCCCGAGUGUUGGGGAUCACCCAGUUCUUGGCAUAGGAACAGAUGUAAGAACAAUUUUCACAGGCCCUAGUGCCUCUGCAUUGCAUAAGGCCCUCGGGUUUGGGGAGGUUUCUCUCUUAAAUCCCAUCCUAGUCCAUUGCAAGUCAUCUGGAAAGCCUUUCUAUGCUAUAGUCCACCGGGUGACAGGUAGUUUGGUCAUUGAUUUUGAACCAGUCAAGCCGUAUGAAGUCCCCAUGACUGCUGCUGGAGCUCUGCAAUCAUACAAGCUUGCAGCCAAAGCAAUUGCACGAUUGCAGUCUUUGCCUAGUGGGAGCCUGGAGAGGCUUUGUGAUACAAUGGUUCAAGAGGUGUUUGAGCUUACUGGUUAUGACAGGGUGAUGGCCUAUAAAUUUCAUGAUGAUGAUCAUGGGGAAGUGGUUGCUGAGCUUACCAAGCCUGGCCUGGAGCCGUACCUGGGUUUGCACUAUCCAUCCACUGAUAUACCUCAAGCUUCACGGUUCCUUUUUAUGAAGAAUAAGGUUCGUAUGAUUGUCGACUGUUGUGCAAAAAAUGUCAAGGUCCUUCAAGAUGAGAAGCUUCCUUUGGAUCUAACAUUGUGUGGUUCAACCCUCAGAGCCCCACAUAGUUGCCAUUUGCAAUAUAUGGAGAACAUGAACUCCAUUGCUUCUCUUGUUAUGGCAGUGGUGAUCAAUGAAGGGGAUGAUGAGGUUGCCGGUCCUGAUUCUGCGCAGACUCAAAAAAGAAAGAGACUCUGGGGUUUAGUAGUAUGUCAUAACACAACUCCAAGGUUUGUCCCUUUCCCACUCAGAUAUGCCUGUGAGUUUCUAGCUCAAGUGUUUGCCAUCCAUGUGAAUAAGGAAUUAGAGUUGGAGGAUCAGAUGAUUGAAAAGAACAUCCUGCGCACACAAACGCUGUUGUGUGAUAUGCUGUUGCGUGAUGCUCCUUUGGGUAUUGUGUCACAAACACCUAAUAUUAUGGAUCUAGUGAAAUGUGAUGGGGCUGCCUUACUGUACAAGAACAAGAUAUGGAGACUUGGAUUAACUCCAAGUGACUUCCAGAUUCAGGACAUAUCCUUGUGGCUCUCUGAGUGCCAUAUGGAUUCCACAGGUUUGAGUACUGAUAGCUUGUAUGAUGCAGGUUUCCCUGGGGCUCUCGCUCUUGGUGAUGUAGUAUGUGGAAUGGCAGCUGUGAAGAUUACUUCCAAGGACAUUAUUUUUUGGUUCCGAUCCCACACUGCUGCAGAAAUCCGAUGGGGUGGUGCAAAACAUGACCCGGAUGAGAAGGACAAUGGCUGGAAAAUGCACCCUAGAUCAUCAUUCAAGGCUUUCCUUGAAGUUGUCAAGACAAGGAGCUUACCAUGGAAGGACUAUGAAAUGGAUGCAAUUCAUUCUUUGCAGCUUAUUCUGAGGAAUGCAUUCAAGGAUGUUGGAGACAUGGAUGUAAACAACAAUGGAAUCCAGAUGCAGCUUAGUGACCUGAAAAUUGAUGGGGUGCAAGAACUGGAAGCAGUGACAGGUGAGAUGGUUCGAUUGAUUGAAACAGCAUCAGUGCCAAUUUUGGCAGUUGAUAUUGAGGGAUCAGUUAAUGGGUGGAAUACAAAAAUUUCUGAGUUAACUGGUCUUCCUGUUGAUAAAGCAAUUGGAAAGAAUUUGCUCACACUUGUGGAAGAAUCUUCAACUAUCAUGGUGGGCAGGAUGUUGGAGUUGGCAUUGCAAGGUAUGUUGUAAACCCUGUUGUAAAAUUUUUCAUUUUAGAUGUCAAGGCAGCACUGACCAUAUAUGCAUAUGCAUGUGUGAACCAAGUACAUCUGUGUAUUCCUAGCCAUGAGUAUCACAGAUAUCUUCCACACAUGACACACCCCCUCUCUCCCUUUCGGCCUUUCCCCUUCUCCACCCUCUUCCUUCUGGGUGUGAAGAGUGGAAAUGGGAUUUAUUUGCUGUUCUUUUCAGAGUUGUUCAUGUUUAUUAUUGCUGUUCAUUGGAUCAGCUAAGUUCAUUUUUUUUUUUCUCUUUGCUUCUGGUCAGGCAAAGAGGAACAAAACAUCCAAUUCGAGAUAAAAACACAUGGUGCUAGGGCUGACUUUGGUCCCAUCAGCUUAGUUGUGAAUGCUUGUGCAAGCAGAGAUAUUCAUGAAAAUGUUGUGGGAGUGUGCUUUGUGGCCCAGGAUAUUACAGGUCAGAAGACUGUGAUGGACAAGUUCACUCGGAUUGAAGGUGAUUACAAAGCAAUUGUACAAAACCCAAAUCCUUUGAUACCCCCAAUAUUUGGCACUGAUGAAUUUGGCUGGUGUUCUGAGUGGAAUCCAGCAAUGACUAAGUCGACUGGUUGGAAACGAGAGGAGGUAAUGGAUAAAAUGCUGUUGGGGGAGGUUUUUGGGAUCCACAUGGCAUGUUGUCCUCUGAAGAAUCAAGAAGCUUUUGUAAACCUUGGUGUUGUAAUCAAUCGCGCCAUGACUGGUGAGGUGUCCGAAAAGGUUCCUUUUGGUUUCUGGAAUCGGGGUGGAAAGUACACUGAAUGUUUGUUGUGUGUAAGUAAGAAAUUGGACAGUGAGGGUGCAGUCACUGGAGUCUUUUGCUUUUUGCAGCUUGCUAGCCUAGAAUUGCAACAAGCACUUCAUGUCCAACGUUUAUCUGAACAAACUGCUGUGAAGAGAUUUAAAGCAUUAGCUUAUAUCAAAAGGCAGAUCAGGAAUCCUUUGUCUGGAAUACUAUUUUCUCGGAAAAUGAUCGAGGGUACUGAGUUGGGAGCAGAACAAAAACAGCUCAUACAUACCAGUGCCCAGUGCCAGCAGCAGCUCAGCAAAAUACUAGACGACUCAGAUCUUGAUAGCAUCAUUGAUGGGUAUGACAAUAUCCUGUACUUGUAGAGUUAUUUUCCUUAUGUUAAGGCAACUCAUGAAAUUCUUGAUGGCCUUGGAUUUGCAUCUUUAUCUAGUCCCCAGGGUACCUUAACUGAUAGUAAUUAGUUUUUCAUGGAUCACUUGAAAUGAUUUAUGGGGAUUCACCUUUAGAUUCUUAUAAUGUUAGAUUAAAUCUGAGCAUAUUCUUUUCUGUAGAAGCUAUUGAAGUAUUCAAUUUCAGUUGUCCAUAUAUCCAUAGUGAAAGUGAUGCGGUGAGACCUAAUUAGUUCCUUCUUUUUUCUGAUCAUUUGACAGCUACUUGGACCUGGAAAUGGUUGAGUUCACUUUGCAGGAAGUAUUGGUUGCCUCUAUUAGUCAAGUCAUGAUUAAGAGCAGUGCUAAGAGUAUCCGGAUUGUCCAAGAUGCGAAUGAAGAGAUAAUGACUGAGACAUUGUAUGGUGAUAGUCUUAGGCUUCAACAAGUCUUGGCUGAUUUCUUAUCAGUGUCGGUUAAUUACAUGCCGUCUGGAGGCCAGCUUACUCUAGCAACGAAUUUGACAAAAGAUCAGCUGGGUCAAUCUGUUCAUCUUGCACAUUUGGAAUUCAGGUACAGCUUUGAAUACAUAGUAUUGAUGUCUGCUUUAACUCUUACCAAUUGCUAGUUUCUACAUACAGACAAACAGUUUCCACCCAAAUAACAACAACAACAACAAAAAAAAAACUUUUUGAGGUCUUUGAAACUUGUUGAGGAACUAGUUCCGUAGCUGUACACUAAUCUCAGCUGCAAAGAGUGAAUUUUUGAGGCCAAAUGAGUAGUACUAUAACAUAUAAAUAAAGAUUGAAGCCUAUCAGAUCAACUGGUUUCUUGUAUCAGUUGGUUGCUUGUGUUACAACUUACAACUUAAAGUGAAUAUCAGUCAUCAAAUGCUGAAUUGAUAUGUUGGAUCAGGAUAUCACAUGCGGGCGGUGGGAUUCCAGAAGGAUUACUGAACCAGAUGUUUGGAACAGAUGGUGACAUAUCUGAAGAAGGCAUUAGCCUACUUAUAAGCCGAAAGCUAGUGAAGCUCAUGAAUGGAGAUGUACAGUAUCUCCGGGAAGCAGGGAAGUCGAGCUUCAUCAUAUCCGCGGAACUUGCUGCUGCACAUAUGAUCAGGUCCUAGACAUUCAGUUUCCAGUGACAUGACAUUACCUUACCGAUCUCAAGUGUACAGCCUACCAGGAAUGAGAGUCGGAUGAUGCAACUUUACAGAUUAUGCCGGAAAUUUCAGCUUAGCUCUGUUCUUAGCACUUUGCAUUUCUGCUUUGCACUGUAAAUAGGCAUGUAUCGCUUUGUUCUUAACAUGUUUUUACCUUGUGACGGAAUAAAAAGAGAAAUGGGGAAAGAUUUUGCAGUUUGCAAUAUUCCUUGUAUGCAUGUAUGAAUUACAGACUUAGAGCAACUUCAAUGAAGUUGUCAAAAUGCUAUUGUCAAAUUUGAAUUUGACUAGUGAUGUGGCUGUGUCAAAAUUGGCAAAAAUCAACUCCAACCAAAGUGUCUAAUUUAAAUCAUAUUCUAUUUAUUUCUAACAUAAAAUUUUUUUUUUCUCUUAUUUAUCUCUUGUGCUGCACAACCUACACCCACAGCCACCCACUUUUUACCUCUCCAUCUUUGCCUUCCUCCUCCUCCUUUCCUCUGUUUCUUCUCCUCCUCUCCCUCUCGUUUUUUUCUUUCUUCUCCAACUCUUCUCUUUCUAAUCAAAGAGACUUUGAACACAGAUCAAAUCUUUUAUAACUUAGUUUGUUCAAGCCACCUUUUUUCCUUACUCGUUUUUCUUCUUCUUAAUUCUUACCUAAAGCCUACAGAAACCCAUCCACUCCAGAAAAAUCCCCACACAAUCGAAGCCCCAAUUUCAAGAUUCAGUUCUUCUAAAUCCCUUCUAAUUUUAUUUACAGACCCAAUGAGAAGCUGUAUUCUGAAAUUUGGAUCUUUUUGAAGGUGGUGGUGAGAAAUUGUGUUCUGAAAUUUGGAUCUUUUUGAUGAAGGGAGCUUCUCAGCAGAGAAGGAAGAGAGAAGGAAUAGGAACAAUAGAAUAAGAUUUGAAAUGCUUGGUUCAUACGGUCAAAUUUGACAAUGUUGUGCUCAAGGUCAAAUCCAGGUCGGAAUUGACACAGCCACGUCGUAUUUGGCAUCUUCAAUGGAGGAACCAAAAGUUGUCAAAACUAGCUGUUGAGCCUCGACCCUGUCAUUUGACAGGUUUGUUGGAGAUGCUCUUACAGUUCUGUUCUUUUGCUGACAAACCACUUUCACGUGUGGGAUCCCUGUGCAAGUUAAAAUUUGCAUUUCUAUAUAUCACCAACUAUGACUCAAUACCACACUUGAUUCACAUACUUCCAUUGUUGAAAUGCAUUUCCUGUGUCAGAUUUCAAAUUCAUAAUGUUGUGAACAGAGCAACAUACAUGUUUAAGUUCUCAAUAAAAGUGGUACAAUAUGCAGAUCACUUCAGAAUGGUAGAGGUGGUACGUUAUAUGUUCAAAACUCAUGUAUUCUUAAUUUGUAGUUUUUGUUGUAAUGGUUCUACUCAGUGAAGUAUUGUGAAGUUUAUUUUGAUAAAACUGUUUUGUUGGAGAAAACCACAAAAUAGACAAAUAUCAAGAAGUAAGCAAAACGUUAUAAGAUCAAGGACCUCGAAUCAAAUAAGGAAAUGAGAUGGUUGUGCUGGUGCACUUUGGAACUCAGGCUGACGUACAAAUACAGACCAAAUACCAAAUAAAUCAAAUCCGGUCUAGAAUGUCUUUUUAAGGAGAUGGAGAUGCAUGACAUUUUAGUACAAAACAUCUUUGCAACACGCUUCUGGUAUACUGUACCCUCUGACUCUGCCUUUUUUUCAUUAAUAAAAAAAAGAAAAUAUUGUUAUAAAUAAUAAAAAUAAUAGAAAUUGUGCGGCUGUUCAUAUAAUUAUAUUAUUUUGGGUUUAACAUAUAAUACAUACUCAAUAGCUAGAGUUCAUUGUGUAGAUUGUGGAAAACUAGAGAUUGAUCACCAAGUAACUUGUGAGUGAAGAUCAAGUAACAUAUGAGUUAAGGGUGAAGAUCAAGUUUGAGUGAUCACCGUUUCCAUACAAGGACUAAGUUUUAUGUACCGUGCUCUUUAAUUUUAGCCGAUGUUCUAAAAAACGUUAAGUGCUAGUCAGACGGAUGACCGGUGACGAACACCUAAGCGAAUUAAUUGGUUUUCUAGCUCUACAUGGAAACGGUGAAACACCACUUAGGCUAAUCGGCUCUAAGCGGGAUGGUUUUAGCUCAGGCGCGGCCCAUAUAAACAUUCAUAGACCAAGUCAAAGGACGCUCAAAGCUGACCACCCGCACCCCACAGAAUCAGUUACCUGAGACUAGAAAACCACACCGUCUUCUCCACUCUAACCAAAAUCUUCAGCCUUGAAUUUCCAAUGAACCUCAAGUCGCUCUCUUUCGCCGCCGAGACCCCUCCGCUCUCAGUUCUCGCGGCGGCCAAGCUCGCCGGUGUUUCUGUCCCCGCCGACGCCUCUCUUGCUCCCGAUUCUCCUCCGGUUCUUCACUUCUGCAAUGGGUAAAACCCUAAACCCUUUCUAUUAUACUCCCUUCGCUUUCCUUUACUCUCUCUUAUCUUCAAGGUUUUCAAAUUUGGAUUUGCCUUCGAUUUUGCAGGCGAAAACUGCGCGGCGUUUUGCCGCUUCUUCGCUAUUUCGGCGGUAUUGCAAAUCUGUGCGGCGCCGAUGCGUUUCAAGAGGCUAAGAUUGCGGAGUGGCUUGAGUACGCUCCUGUGCUUUCGGUUGGCUCGGCGUUCGAGAAUGCCUGCAAGCAUUUGGAUGAGUACGUGGGAAGCCGAACCUUCUUGGUUGAUCACUCGUUUUCGAUUGCCGAUAUCGCAAUCUGGUCAGGCCUUGCAGGUUAGUAGCUUUGAUUGGAUGAUUGAUAGGAUAGGAGUGUUAGAGAUAUUUGUAUUGGUUUCGGUUAGUGUUGUUAAAGUCUAUUGCUUGGCAGGAGCUGGACUUAGAUGGGAGAGUUUGAGGAAGUCUAAGAAGUAUCAGAAUCUUACUAGGUGGUAUGGUUCGAUAUUGGCCGAACACGGUGAUGCGUUGAAUCAAGUAACAGCUGCUUAUGUUGGCAAGAAAGGCGCGGGGAAGUUGAAAGAGAACAUUGCCAGUCAGAAGUCGAAUGGCGUGAAUGGAGAUGCAGAGAAAGCGGGAACUCCCACCACACGAGGAAAAUACGAGGUGGAGCUUCCUGAGGCUGAGGUUGGGAAGGUGAAGUUGAGGUUUGCGCCGGAGCCAAGUGGUUAUCUUCACAUUGGGCACUCAAAGGCAGCUUUGUUGAAUACUUACUUUGCUCAGAAGUAUAAAGGUGAGGUAAUUUUGCGGUUUGAUGAUACAAAUCCUGCGAAAGAGAGCAAUGAGUUUGUGGAUAAUCUUAUCAAGGAUGUCGAGACUUUGGGUGUCACGUAUGAGAGGAUUACCUAUACUUCUGAUUAUUUCCCUGAGUUGAUGAAAAUGGCCGAGAAGCUGAUUUUCGAAGGUAAAGCAUAUGUUGAUGAUACACCUAGAGAGCAGAUGCAAAAAGAACGAAUGGAUGGGAUUGAGUCGAAGUGCAGAAACCAUAGCAAAGAGGAAAAUUUGAAAUUGUGGGAGCAAAUGAUUGCAGGUUCAGAGAGGGGUCUGCAGUGUUGUGUUAGAGGAAAGCUGGAUAUGCAGGAUCCUAAUAAAUCACUCAGAGAUCCUGUUUAUUAUCGUUGCAACCCAAUGCCGCAUCAUAGGAUUGGGGCCAAGUACAAGGUCUACCCAACUUAUGACUUUGCUUGUCCAUUUGUUGAUUCCAUUGAAGGUAUAACUCAUGCACUUCGAUCUAGUGAGUAUCAUGACCGCAACGCCCAGUACUAUUGGAUUCAAGGUGAUAUGGGACUGAGAAGAGUGCAUAUAUACGAGUUCAGUAGGUUGAACAUGGUCUACACACUCCUCAGCAAGCGCAAGCUUUUGUGGUUUGUUCAAAAUGAGAAGGUCAAUGGAUGGGAUGAUCCUCGAUUUCCCACUGUUCAAGGAAUUGUGCGCAGAGGUCUCAAAAUUGAAGCAUUGAUACAGUUCAUUCUUGAGAUGGUAAGACACUAAUCUUUAAUACCAUGAUUAACACAGUAUAUGUUUAUAAUAGCAUCUUACAAAACCUUAACUGCUAGACGCCAAGUGUGUGGAUGACCUAAUGGGAAGCACUAGUUGGUCAUGAAAUAUAGUUCCUGUCUACUGCUUCUUAUGUCCUCUGUUUCAUAGUUGUACUAGUUUAUCUUUACAAUGGAGGCUUUUUUAUUUAUCCAAACUUUGAAUGAUGAACUUAAUAGUUGAUUUUUAAUUAUUGUAUGAUUUAGGGGGCUUCAAAGAAUCUGAAUCUUAUGGAAUGGGACAAACUGUGGACAAUUAACAAGAAGAUUAUUGAUCCUGUAUGCCCAAGACACACUGCCGUCAUUGAAGAGGGACGAGUGUUGUUGACCCUCUCUAAUGGCCCUGACAAGCCAUUUGUCCGCAUGAUACCUAGGCAUAAGAAGUAUGAAGGUGCUGGAGAGAAAGCAACGACAUUCACAAGGAGCAUAUGGAUAGAUCGAGCUGAUGCAGAGUUGAUAUCAGUUGACGAGGAAAUCACGUUGAUGGAUUGGGGGAAUGCCAUUGUUAAGAAGAUUGAUAAAGACCAAGAUGGAAAUCUUGCACUCACAGGGGUUUUGCAUCUUGAAGGAUCUGUGAAAACCACCAAAUUGAAGCUUACCUGGCUGCCUCAAAUAGAUGAACUGGUUAAGCUCUCGUUGAUGGAGUUUGAUUAUCUGAUAACAAAGAAGAAGGUAUGUGCCAUUCAACAAUUGUGAAGUUUCCUAUGCCUUGCUAAAAUGUUUAACCUGUGGACUCUGUAAUUCUAUGCAUGAUAGUUUAUGCUUGCCCAUGAUGACACUGAAAUGUAAUUGAAUUGGUUGUUUUGAUUUGCGAUUGCAGCUUGAGGAAGGUGAGGAUUUCCUUGAUGUGAUUAACCCAUGUACUGAAAAGGAGACAGCUGCCCUUGGGGAUACCAACAUGCGAAAUCUGAAACGUGGAGAUGUAUUGCAACUUGAGAGGAAAGGAUACUUCAGAUGUGAUGUUCCGUACCUCAGGCCAUCAAAGCCUAUUGUUCUCUUUGCAAUCCCUGACGGCAGGCAGCAGGCUGGGUUAAAGUGAAGAGCUUCAAGAAUUUUUUGGCUUCAUGAUUUUGAUAGAAAACUUUUUAUUUCAAAAUUGAAUGGUAGAACUUUUAACUAGUUUGACACUCCUAAAAGUACCUUUCAGUUCUUGUAGUCUUCUAUUCAGAAUAUUUGGCAAGGUUUUGAUGGAAUGAGAUUUCUGUUAAUAAUUCUGUACUGAAUCUUUAACUGUGUGGCUAUCAGAAUAUUUGGCAAGGUUUUCAUGGAAUGAGAUUUCUGUUUAUAAUUCUGUAUCAAAUCUUGUGUUGGAAGUUGCUUGGAAGUUGCAACCUGGUUGGAAGUUGCUUGGAAGUUGCUAUAUUUCUCUGUUUGUAAUGUUCUUUCAUUUCAUUGCUAUUGCUAUAUGUAAACCUUGGUGUUUUUGAUCAUUCACAGACGUACACCUUCAAUACUUGUUAACAAACAAGUAGAGGGAGUCGUGCAGAAAUUUCAAAAAUCUCUUGGUGCACUACAAUUUAUAAUGUGUUGGUACCACCUGGUAAGACACUAGAGUAGCAUAUAUAAUCCGUCUAUGGUUGAUAAGUAUCAUAUAUAAAGAACUGUAUCCUCUUAAGAAUCCUCAAUAAAUUAAGGAAGCUGUGGAGUAAAGCUGUUUUGACAACUAUUGUUGAUUUGUUGUUUCUUGAGACCAUGGAGCUUAACAUUUUCUGGUAAAGUUAAACUACGAGUCUUAUCUUAGGCGUGAUUCAAACAUCUCUAAAUUUUCUUUUAAAAUGGCCAUAACGUUAUGGAACCUGUAGAAAACAAUGAACACAUAAGCCAUAUUAAACGAAAGCAAUGAUAUUUCAAAUUGAAUGGUUGAACUUUUAAACUAACAAUCUCUGCUCCCCUUGUUUGUUCUGGUGAAGAGUCUUCCUAUUUGAAAUGUCUUAUUGCCUUAAAGAAAACAUAUAUGGUUGAACUUUUAAACUAACAAUCUCUGCUCUCCUUGUUUGUUCUGGUGAAGAGUCUUCCUAUUUGAAAUGUCUUAUUGCCUUAAAGAAAACAUAUUAUGCACCUAAUAGCUCCUACCCCUGCAAAAUUUUCUUUCUCUAUAAUUGCUUCAUCCCGCUAUGUUCAUGGACUUUUCCCUUUGAAUGUUUCUGUUCAAGGGUCUAGGCUCAUGUUCAUGUAGUGUUUGAUUGUAGGGGAUUUUAAUUUCUUUUGGAGGGGUUAGUGUCUCCAACUAACUCUGAUUGAGCCAAAAGUGAGUCAUGAUUAUAAGUGGGAACAACCAAAAUGUAACAAUCACUUUUGCAUCAUUUCCACAAAACCAGUCUUUUCCAUUGUUGAAGAACAUCAAUAGCAAUGAAAGUUCCACCAAGGUUGGUGAAUCUCUGGUUAGAAAGUGUAACAAACUUCACCAAGAAGCUAGUUAUUAAAUCAUUUCAGAUUAGGAAGACAACUACUCCUCCAGACUUGAAUGUGUUAUUAACUACUUGUUAUCAAGUAUGUAUCAACCACCAUACAAGAAGACUUAUUUUGAAGGAACAGAAAGAAACACAGAAUGAAACAAAAGAAAAAAAAGAAACACAAUGGUUAACUAAAACAUAAUACAAUUCCCACACUCAAUCAAGCUAAGACUGAAAAUUUCUAGGCCUUGGGUGCAAACUUGGCCUUGAUCUUCUUAAUCUCUUUAGUACCAACCUGGAAAGUACUGGUCAACACAUCAUCCUCCACCGGCGGCGAGGCGGCGAACAAUGUAAGGGCAAUGUUGGCGGUACCCUGCAGCUGAGAGUUGAACGCGGCGAUCACGGCAGCAGGGACCUUGCCAUUGUUCUUCUGGAAGUGAAUCAACCCCUUUGGAAACACAAACACUUCACCUUUGGCAAUGGUCUUUGAAAUGAGCUUGUUUGCUGUGGUAACGAACCCAACAUCCAACGAACCUUCAAGCACGAAGACUAUCUCGGUGGCGCGUGGGUGAGUGUGAGGUGGGUUGAUGCCUCCGGGAGCAUAGUCAAUUCUAGCCAUCGACACGCCGAGGGUGUUAAGACCUGGGAUCUUCUGCACAUUGGCUAAAGUCACCAAAGAGCCGAAGGUGUUGUUGGUGAGUCCUGGCUUGGCUAUUCCGGCAAAGAAGAAGUCCUCCGCUGUUGCAUUUGCCGCGUCCUUGCAAGCGAAACCAUUCAUUUUCGCCGCUGCUCAUUCAUCAUAUAAUCGUGUCAAAACUCAAAACUAGCUUCAAUCUUCAUUAAGAGACAAGCUAGAAGAAAUUAAUGAAAGGGUUUGUACCAGAAGCGAAGUCGGCGACGCAGAUAUCUUGAAGCAUGUCUGGAUCAGCAGCUGAGUUGCCGAAGACGAUGGCGAAAGUCAUCACUAACAGUGCCAACAUAGCCGCCAUGGUUGUGUUAGAUUUCAAAGAGAGAAACUUGGGAAUGUGGGAAAAGGUAGGAAUGAGUAGGAAGUGAUGGGCAAGGUUGAGUAUUUAUAGUGAAGGGUAGGGUAGUUGAACGUCGAUGGCAAAUAUAGUGACGACUGAAUCAAUGUUUUGGAUGUUAAGGUCGUGCUGUUGAGAAGUAAAGCAUGGAGCUUGCCAUUGUUUGUAGAGCUUAGACCAAAAGCUAAGUCAUCGAUCACUUUGCCUUGCCUCUCUGGUUUUUGGAGCGUUGACCCCAUUUGCGUCGCCUUGCGCGUCUAAAGGAUCUGACCCCUCUUGUUCUUAUCUUAAUUUCUUCUCUUUUUCUUUAGUAACAAGUGAUCGAAUUGUAGGGUGUCGAAUCUUGGCAACAACACUUGUCCAAUUCAAUUGGCUCUAUGCAUUGACAAAAUAUUUGUAAUAUGGUUUACGGUGGUGUCUAAGUUGAGUAAACGAAAUAAAGAAGAAAAGGGGGGAGAAUUAUUGAGAUUCCCUUAAAAAGAAAACAUGGAGGUAGGUUUAUUUCGUACGAGUUAGAUCAAGUGAAAUUUUCAUCUAGAAGAGGCAUAAGGUAAAGUUUCAUUGUUACUUGUGUCUUUUUACAAACACUGCAGAUAUCUGGUCCCGCAGGUAAAGAAUUUUUCUUUUUAUUAUCCAAGAAUGCAAAAUAGUUAGGUUUGAUUGUUGGAACACACUAUUGAUCGAGUAGUCAUUGAUAAAAAAAAGAAAUAAUUGAGAAGCUUGAACUCCUCAAUUACUUUUGAUGAGAACUUCUCAACAUAAUUUAGUCUAGCUUUUCCUAUUUGUGAUUAAUAGCCCGGUUGACAUGGUAUAGGUAUGAGAAUGAUCAUGUGGUUGUGUAUUCAUGCAAGUAAAUGUGUUGUGCGUUAUUUAUCGUGUUACAUCAUUCAAAGUAGGGUAUGAGCUACUUCAAUUUUAUAAUUGACCAUUUAUAAUCAACUCUCGAUGUAAAGGACUAGCUUCUGUUAUACAUAAUAGCACAAAUAAUUACAAUUUACCUAACUUUCCAUUAUUUCAUUAGAAUUUCUAUACGUCGAUCGAUCGACCAUAUUAGUUGCCCGGUUUGCGUUUGUUGUUGUUUUAUUUACCAGCUAAUAAGUAGUUAUAAUUAAAAACAUCUCAUGAUUAUAGUAAGGCCAGAAGUAUGAAGAUAGAUAUGGAUAUAUAUAUAUAUAUAUAUAUAUCUCACCAAUGAAAUAAAGACAACCAUUUAUUCAGCUCUCAAAGCAGCUGGUUCUAUGUAUUGUCCUGCAUGCAUGAAAUCUUAACACUAUUACACUAGUUAAUUAAGCUUGAUUAAGGAUAAGUUUCUUAAUAAACUUAUAUAUGCUAUAUAUAGACAAAAAUGCUGUUUAUAUAUAUAUAGCUCGAAUUUUUGCUAAGAGAGUGAGACAAAGGUUUUCCUUAUUGUUUGAUUUGGUUGGAGAAAUGUUAUAAUGUAUGGUUGCUAAGGUACGAUAAAUUGGAUGAUUGGCUCUAUACUCCAAACUAUAUGUCCUAUAGUUCGACUUCAUUUUGCAAACCAACCGAUCAUUCGCAUUUUCUUUUUGUUCGUACUCUGUCAUCUUUCGGAGGUUACUUCUACCAAUGUGGCUCUUCUGUUAUCUGUUUUGCAGUAGAGUCAUCAUUAUCGUACUCAUCAGCAACCAGCUCCUUAUUUAGUUGGAGGAUGCAUGGUCUCUAUCAUCAAUCAUGUUCUUUUAUAUCAAACUGCUACUUUCAAUAUAUUCUAAAGCAAAAAUUAUAAUCAAUGUAGGCUGCGAGUCUGUAACUGAUAUAAGCCUUGUCAACAUCUUAAUUAGGUAAGCUAAUCCGGAAAAGAGUAUAUGCCUUAAUUGUUUUAGAGAAUAUAUAUGUCCAAUUUAGACUUUAACCAGAUGUGGCGGGACGUCGUUUAAGCUCGACUUCCAGAAUACUAGCUUGUGAAGUUUACUUGUGAUUAUUAUUGAUUAACCGAGAUAAUAAAGAAUUUCCAUUAAGAAAAUCAGAUUUGUAUUCUGGUUUCUGCUUGGGUCAGUUGGGUGAUACACUGAUACUUCACUGUUUGUUAUGCUCUCUUCAACAUUUGGUAAUUAGUGAAUGUUAGAAUAUCUUGAGUUCAUUCAUCUGACCUCUAAUGGCAUUGACAUUCGAACAAUAACGUACUUGAAGUUUUUAUUCAAGUCAUGGAUCGAUCUCUGAUUGAAACUGAUUAAAAGAGUUGACUCUCCUACUCAUCCAAUUAUCCAAAUAAUAUGACUGGAUCAGGAUUAGGAUUGGAACCCUUCUUCCGGAGGAACACAGAUGCAUCAUUUUUAUGGAAAAUUCUGCUAUACCGAAUGGUAUAACAUCUCUUCAACCAACCGCCACCCCCUUUAGUUAGAUGUAUACGGUAUAGCAGACAAACCCAUUUUUAUAUGGAAAAGACAGAAUCUCAACACAUCUUCCGACUUCAUGUUCUACUUGUAUUUUAUUUUUUUAAUAUAAGAAUAAACUCAUGAACUAUAUAUCAAAAUAUUAAAGCAAUGGAAUUGAAUAUGUGCGAUUAGUACUUAAAAAGGAUAAUUUCCCUUAAGAUAAUAUAUUUUAGGUAGUACACUUAUAUAGAUAUUACGUUGUAGUACACAUGUCAAAAUGUUAGGUUCUUCCAUUUAGCAAUUUACACUAACUAGAUUGGCAAAUGGUCUAAUUCAAAUUGCUAAGAGUAGAAUUGGUCUCCUCAAAUCGGAAGCAAAUCUUCCUUUCUAUCUUUUCCUAAAAGGAAGAAGUAGCAGCUAGCUAAUUGAUCAUCAGAAUCUACUUCGAUCAAGAGCAAAAUUGUCCAACUCCAAUGCUAAUUCGAGCUCGCUCUUGAAAAUAUUUACGUGCCAGAGAUGAUAAAAUCACCUAGGCACUAGUUUUUAACUUCUUCAACUUCAUCAACUUUAUAAAUAGUAAGAGGGAUCGAUUUGUGUUUGCAUAGUCAACUUAGAGACUCAUGAAAGGAGAGGGAUCGAUUUGCCAAGAUUAACUGAAAUUGGAAAUCUGCUAGAUGCUUUUAAUGAUUGGCUGCAGUUGGGCGCAAACCUCAAACAAAGAAAAUAAAAUUUCCACAACCCACGUCAAUUUGCAAAACAAACACAAGUGAAAUAAAUAACGUACAAACAUGCAUAAAGAGAAGAAAUAAUUAAGCUAUAUAUAUCUACUACUUGGGUGCAAGCCUUGACUUGAUCUUCUCGAUCUGCUUGGUGCCAACUUGGAAUGUCUUAGUCAACACAUCAUCUGCCACUGGAGGUGUGGCGGCAAACAAGGUGAGGGCAAUGUUGGCGGUACCCUGCAACUGAGAGUUAAAUCCGGCGAUCACAGCAGCAGGGACCUUGCCAUUGUUCUUCUGGAAAUGAACCAACCCCUUUGGAAACACAAACACCUCACCUUUGGCAAUGGUCUUGGAAAUGAGCUUGUUUGCUGUGGUGAUGAACCCAACAUUCAGUGCACCUUCAAGAACAUAGACUAUUUCCGUGGCGCGUGGGUGAGUGUGAGGUGGGUUGAUGCCUCCGGGAGCAUAGUCAAUGCGAGCCAUCGACACGCCAAGAGUGUUAAGCCCUGGAAUCUUCUGCACAUUGGCUGCAGUCACCAAAGAGCCGAAGGUGUUGUUGGUGAGUCCUGGCUUGGCCAGUCCGGCGAAGAAGAAGUCCUCCGCUGUUGCAUUUGCCGCGUCCUUGCAAGCGAAACCAUUCAUUUUCGCCGCUGUUCAUUCGUCAGAGUUAGAUUUGGAUCAAACUUUUGAGCAUAAUUUGUAAUAAUCUUGUAGGAAGCAUAAUUUAGGAUUAUUAGUUAAUUAGCUACAAGUGUAUUAGCCAGUGGUGCAAAUGUGCAAUGUACUUCACUUUUGGCGCAAGAUAUAAAGCUUUAAGAACACCGGAAAAACAAAAAAAAAAAAACAAAAGUACCCGGCAAGAUAUAAAGAAAGAUAUAUCAAUCAUUUCACAAAUCAUCAGAGAUGGAAUUAGGAAAAAAGUUGCCAAGGGAAAGAAAGAAGAAGAAGAAGGUAAGAACGGGGUCAACUUCUAAUAGUUGGUAAAAAAGAAAAUGGGGUCAACUUGUGAUACGUACUGAAACACUGGGUAUAAAAAUGAAGAAGAGAAAGUUGAAAGGGCCGGGUGUUGUACCAGAAGUGAAGUCUGCAACACAGAUAUCUUGAAGCAUGUCUGGAUCAGCAGCAGAGUUGCCAACGACCACAGCAAAAGUCAUCACAAACAUUGCCAAGAUAGCUGCUGCCAUGGUUGCCUAUAUACUGCUGCAGUUGUGUAGGUAUUAGAAGUAGUAGAUCGUGGUAAAGAUAGUAAGAUGUGGAAACUGGAAAUGGGGUUUGAAAACUGUGUAUGAAUGAAUAGGCAGGGAUGGAUAUAUGGUCCGUAUUUAUAAGGGAGAGUAGUUCAAGUUGAUGGUAAUAAUAUUGUUGCUGUAAAUGUAAAGCAUUGCCAUGUUUAAGUGAAUUCUUAGAGCAGAAGGCAAGUCAAGUUGCCUGGCUUGCCUUGUCCAUCUCUCUUUAUUUUUGGGAAGCGUUAGACCCCGUUUGCGCGUCCACCGGAUCUGACCCACGCAGGUUUUUAUUUUCUCUUAUUCAUUUGGCAAGUUCUUUAGUACGUACGUUCUAUUUUUUUUGUUAACAAAUGAAUAUGAUUCUAGGUAUGAUUCUUUCCAACAAACUUGUCCAGUUCUAGGGCUUAUAUAUAUGUAUGCAUUCUGUACCCACCUGCCGUGUGUUCUUUCUUAACUUGUAUCAAUGGAGCUAGCCUCUUUUCUUUUAGUAGUUCUCAUUGUCAUCUUUUGGAGGUUGCAUCCUACCAUGGCCUUUCUCUCAUCUGUUACAUUGUUUUCCAGUGGUCGGAAUCAUAUAUAUCUGCAACCAGCUCCUGAAUAUACUGGUAAGAGGAGGCCAAGGUCCCCAUCUUCGAGGAAAAUUCUAUAAUGUGCUAAUGCAUGUGAAUGAUAUGAUGUAUCAACUGUGUAAAUUGAGUCCUCAAACUAGUAAUAUUAGUCCUCAAAGUUGUAAUAUUAGUCCUUAAAGUUGUAAAAUUUUCUAGUUACAACAUUAUUCAUCAUAUGUCCUUAAAAUGGUAAAAUGUGUUCUUAAAGUGGUAAUUGAGUAUUUUAAAUGAUUAAAAAAAUGUUGUUACAACUUUGAGAACUCAUAUUACAACUUUAAGGACUCAAUUACCACUUUAAAGACAAAUGAGGACUAAAGUUGUAACUAAUUUUUUUGACAACUUUAACCACUCAUAUUACAACUUUAAGGACUAAUAUUACUAUUUUGAGGACUCAUUUUACAACUUGAGGACAAAUUUGAUGCAUCACAUGCAUUAAUACAUCUUAGCCUUACCCUUCUUCGAGCCCUGUUGAAAAAUUAGUAAACCAUCUAAUUUGGAUUGCUAAAAAAUAGAAAAUUAUUGACACAUCAUUAAAAGUAUAUGCUUCACAUCCAAAGUUUGGCUAAUAUAACCUAAUAGCUAGCUAGCAGUUAGAAAAUAUAAAGGUUAAAUAAUGAACAGUCCUUAUGGUUUGAAGUCGAUACAUGUUCUGUCCUUAUGAUUUCAUUUUAAUCUGAAUGGUUCUUAAAGUCACGAUUUUUCUUCUAAAUGAUCAUUUCGUCACUUUCUCUGUUAGAUUGCUGACAUAACUGUUAAAAAUUGCAAUAUCUUUAACGGUCACGUCAGUAUUUUAACGGUGAAAGUUGACAGAAUGACAAUUUGGAAGGAAAUCAUGACUUUAAGAACCAUUCAGAUUAAAAUAAAAUCAUAAGAACUGAACGGAUGUCGACUUCAAACCACAUGAACUAAACAAAUUUUAAUUCAAAAUAUAAUAUUAUCAUUUUUUUUUAAAUGAACAAGGUCUUAUUGUCAUAUAUAUGGGGUUGAAUAAUAUAGGACAAAUACUCAUUUAGUACUAAUUUUGACCCUUUAUUGCUCAUUCCAAUGACAAUAUUUUUUAAAAGCUCAUUUAGAUGUAAGGAAAACAUUUUUGUGCCCAAAUGGACAAAUAUUUACUAAAGUCAUAACAGACCAUAUUAUUUUAAGAUUAUUUUUUCAUCAUCCCUUAAACAUGCAUAGAGAGAGAAGACUUUACCGGCCUCGCCGGACUCCGGUCAUCGGUCAUCGGACUUCGGUCGCCGGUAUGGUGACCUGAAUUACUGACCCCCAGUAAACAUGUUAUUGACCCCUAAUAAUAAAAUACUUACCCCAAUAAACAUCUUAUUAACCACUAAUAAUAAAUUAUUGACCCUAGUAAUCGUGUGACCCUCAAUAAAUGUUUUAUUGGGGGCAAUAAGUUACUACCCCUAAUAAAAAAAUUAUUAGAAGUGAAUAGAGAUGAAAUCUCAUCAAAACAACAUAAAAGAAGUUUACAGAAACUAAUAAACUUUUAUUAAGUGCAAAGAAAUUUUUACUACCCCUAGUAAAAUAUUUAUUGACCCCAAUAAUCUUACUUACCCCUAGUUAAAAAGAAAUUAACUAUAGCUUAACCACUGCCAUUCCUAAAACCUACGCUUCCUCAACAAAACGACGUUGUCCACCCAACGCUGGUGGCGGUGGUGGCACCUCGACUGUCGUCGAUGGAGAUUUCGAUCAAGUCCGGAACAGUUGCUCAACUACGAGCGCAUCUACCUUGCCUAUCCCCUCCACUCCGAUGUCUGCCGCAUCAUCUUCUUCGACUUCGACCUGAUCGUCAUCAACAAUGUGGCCAUGCUCUGCUGCAUCGACCAGUCGCAGAACCGCCACGCCAACUUCACCGUGAACCAGAUCGAGCCGGAGGUGAAGGAUUUGGCGACAUGGUGAUGGAGCUAAACUAGAUUGAGUCGGAGAUCGGCGCAAGUGAGACAUCAAUCACCGCCGGAGAUGAAGGCGUGGUGAUAGAGGUAAAGGCGUGGACUGCGUGAUGAUGGAGCCAUGGAGGUGAACCAGAUCGAGCCAUAGAGAGAGAGAGAGAGAGAGAGAGAGAGAGAGAGAGAGAGAGNGAGAGAGAGAGAGNNNNNNNNNNNNNNNNNNNNGAGAGAGAGAGAGAGGAGGUAGUUUAAUGAAAGUGAGGGUAAAUUUGUCAUUGUUUCAAGAUUAAUUGAAAUGGGCGUUUGGAUAUAAAUUUUUAUUCAAGUGGGCUUUAUUUUAAGGGAUUUUGUGCAUUUGGGCAUUUACCCGGCCCAUUAUAAGCGCAUCCAGCUAGGAGGUCUGAAAUCAAUGAACACAAAUUAAUAAUUAAUGUAUAAUGAUUGAAAGUAACAAAUUGGUCCAUAAUUUCAUUGAUUGGUCACUUACGAUAAGGAUAAGGUGUACGUUUUAAAUUUUUUGUCGAUAGAUAAUUAAGGUGCAUCAUUCAUGUGAAGUCCAAUAUUACUUAUUUUCAUGCGCUUGUUAGACAACUCAAGCUAGCUCGCUCUCCGCGAAGUUCAAGCUUGAGCUCAUCUCGGGUUUUUGUACAAUCUUUUAUCAACACCAUUUUUUCAUUUCUCUUUCUAGCCUUUGCAUAUUAAUGGUCGGGCAAAAGAAUAAGGUUACCGCUAAUGCUGGCAAACUUUAUUUUCAGAACAAGCGAAACUUACUUCAUGCAUACAACAUAGUUCAUACCGCUUACAUCGCUUGCAUUAUAGGCAGAGCAAAUGCAGGCUUAUUCUACAUAGAAACACAUUGUUAAGACAGCUCAAAGGAAGUCCAGGGCAUCAUCAUCAGUAGGAGCAUAUCCAACAAAUUAACAAUUGCCCUUUUAUUUAUCAAUGACAAGACCAUUUGGGGAAGAUCACAGCCAGCAACUAAGCUAACUUAGCCAGAUGGGGAGAUCGAGCUCUGCCUUCAGCUUCAGUCUUCUUACCGCAAUAGCACAAUGCUUCCUCGAUCGGAAAAGUACGUGUACAAAGUACACAUUCAUCACAUUUUUCUAUGCACUCGGGGUAUGGAAGAAAGCCCUCCCCCUGAUUUUGCAACUGGUUUGGCGACUACUUCCGGUUCUGCAGAUAAUUUUUCUGCAUAUGUACGUUAGUAACAAGAUUCUAAGAACCUAUAUAUAUACAUACAUAUAUGUGUGUGUAUGUGUGUGUGUGUGGGCGCGCGCACGCAGGCGGGCGACGCCAAGUAACAUAGGGAAAAUUUUACAGAGACAGAUACUCAAAGGAAGGAUACACUAGAUCACUUAUCAAGAUUUUAGAAUCAAUUCAUACAUGUCAUUGGUUGAUCGAUCCUUAUGCAUAUAUGGCAAAGCUUUGUAUCCUUAAUUUUUCCUGUACUAGUUAUCCCUGUUUGAUACGUUGAUUAGAUGUCUCCGAAUAGACGUCGGUAAUAAUAUUGUAUAGUUUAUGAGUUCACCAGCAGCCAGUUCUUCUCUUCUUCAACGAUUAUAAAUUUGAGGUACUUGUUUUUCUGGAUCCCUUAUAUCAAGAGCCAGAGUUCUAUUUCAUAUUGUUAGUAGUCCUCGUUGAUUUGAUGCAUGCUAGCUUUUUCUGCUGCAUCUGUGAAUUAUUCCAAAAGAACUGAAGUAUUUAUCCAUUUUCAAUUAUGAUAAAAACAUUUUUGUCAAUUAUCAUAUGUGUCAAGUAGAACAAUUAAUAUCGAUGCACUGCAAGUCUGCAACAAUAUUAUUUCAUGCAUGUUCUCUGAAAAUUAGUUAAAUUACCAGAUUUCUGGAGUUCUUCAUCAACUGGUUUCCACUUUGUGCAAAUGCACUCUGCAUACUGUGGAACACGCCUGUCGCAAACGCAACUGUUGCAGACACCGUCGCACAGUUGAUAUGGAAUUUUCUGACAUUCUGGUAAUUGAACAAUAACGUAUAUUACAGCAAUAAUAUAAGUCUGUUCUGAUAUAAUGUAACAACAUGAAAAAACAUAGACAAACAAUAAUAUGAACAUGUAAAUUUUUAUUGCUAGCUAAGUAGGUAUGGUUAAUUACGUACCAGUGUCUAGUUGGUUGUUAGAGGUAAGCAGCUGGGCAAAUAGGUCUAAGCGGGCAUGAACACUAGUUGCUGCCAAAGCCAUGGCGAGCAACACUAAGAAACUGACUCUCGACAUAUUUCUGAAACUCGUAGUGUAAUUCUCUCACUCAACUCUCAACUCGAUUGGUGUGUGAGAAAUGAAGAAGGCAGUGAGGUCUAUUUAUAGCUGAAAAUUUGUACAUAAUCGACUUCGAUCUUCUUUUAAUAUUAGAAACGUGCUUCUUCUGGAGAAAUGCCAUUGUUCAAUCAAGAUCCAUAAUCCACCAUGCCACCUCAUUGAAAAUUAAUUGUGGUUACUGGUCGUAUCUGAUUUAGAGCAAUAAUUUCAUGAUUCCUUGAUAUAUAUUAGAAGGGUACUAAUAAAUCUACGUGUAUACGUAUAAAUCCACAUAUCCCGAUCUUGCUCGUAAUGGUAAACAUUAGAAAGGUUUUUCCUCCCAUGAAGACAGAGGAGAUCGAAGUAGUACGGUGAAAGCUCGCCCAAAAUAUAUAUAUUUAUACUACAUUAGAAUGUAGUAGAACGUCUAAAACAUCCAAUCACAUACUAAACGUCAUCACUGUAUCUGCGAAGGAUUUUGGUUUCAACAAUAUCAUUGGGUUACAUACAGUGGCGGAAUUGAUCUUAUAUAAUGGGACACUCGAAACUUAAGAAAAUAAAAUAAUUAAACUUAUAAUAUAUAUCAUAAUAUGAAUGAAAAUAUAAAUUGAAAUAAGAAGCACAAAAACAAGCAAAGAAGCCAGCUACUUUGGGGCAAGGUGGGUCACAAAAACAAAUGAUUUUAUGUAACAGUUGGCGGGGAUAGUGAAAGCAUGAAAUCAAGAAAGCUAUAUAUAGAAUGGACUCAUAUACAAUUAUAGAUAGCAUCUCAUUAUUCUAUCUUUCAGGAACAUACACGAAAAAGGAUAAAAUGUGUAGAGAAAUUUUAUUAACACAUCUCUAAUUACUAGAUACAUAUCUCAUAGUUAAUACACUACCUUUUAACUUUAUUGUUUUAACAUCUUACUGAAUACACAUACCCAAAUUUCCUACAAUACCCUCAUUUAAAAUAAACAACUUAUUCACUAAAUACACAACUCAUUCACUAAAUACACAUCCUUUUACUAAAAAAAAUAAAAAUGCAAGUUUCACCUUGUUAGGAUCUUCAUCGAGGUAUUUCACUUUGUUAAGAUCUUCAUCGAGGGAUUUUACUUUGUUAACAUCUUCUCCUAUCGGUUUUUCUCAACAAAAUUUAUUCUCAAUGAGUCUCUUACUCAAACUCAUUUCAAGAAUUCAUGAGCGUAUCGAAUCAUAACAAAACAAGACAAUACAUCACCAAGGUAAAAAUAUUGAUACUCCAUUCAAGCUAAAAAUUAACAAGUGUUAGAAGUACAAUAACUAAUGUGCUAGUUUCAAACAAUUCAGUGAUCGCUAAGAUGUAUUGCAAUAAUUGCAUUGUCUUCGUCGGACAUUAUAACAUCAACAAAUGGAGUGGUUUGUUCAUCAUCAAGUACCAUAAUACUUGAGGAUGUAUUGACUACUCUUUCAGGAUGUGGCAACUGAGUAUAUUGCUGGAAACGGUCUUGAUAUCGAAGGUACAAACUCUUAGCUGCAUCGUCGGCAUGGUAUAUCCAAUUUGGUGGAACCGGGGGUAGUGGGUGUCCUGGCACAAAACAAAUCUGCAAAGAUAUAAGAAAUUUGAUUAGUUAUUUAAAAUUAUAUAUAGAUAUAUAUACACACACAUCUAUGUAAAUUAUUUAUACAAUCUAUAUAUAUAUAUAUAUAUAUAUAUCGGAGCACUCUCACUAGUGCGUCCUAAUUAUCUUUCUCAGGAUUGUGUGAGUAACGACUAAGUCUACUCACACUAUAUGCUAAAUUCGGUCGUGUACAAUUCAUUAUGUACAUCAAGCUUCCAAGAACUUGAGUAUACUCCAAUUGAGACACACUUUCUCCUUGAUUCUUCUUAAGGUGACUAGAGGGAUCAAAUGGAGUAACAACCGACCUAUCAUUAUAAUGUCCAAAUUUUCUAAGGACCUUCUCCACAUAAUGAGAUUGAGUAAGUAUGUAACCAUCUAAAUUCCUUUGAAUUCGAAUACCAAGAAUGACAUCUGCUACUCCCAUAUCUUUCAUAUCAAAAGAGGAGUGCAACAUUUUCUUGGUUUGAUUAAUUACAUCCAUAUUCGUUCCCAUAAUAAGCAUAUCAUCCACAUAUAAUAACACAUGCAUUUCUACAUUGUUUAACAUAAACACAUUUAUCACAUUCAUUUAUUUGAAAACCAUUUGAUAAAAGUGUAUUAUCAAAGUUCUCAUGUCAUUGCUUUGGAGCUUGCUUAAUGCCGUAAAGGACUUAACCAAUUUACACACCUUAUUCUCUUGACCUUUAACAACAAACCUUUCAGGUUGGUGCAUGUAAAUUUCUUCAUCUAAUUCACCAUUCAAGAAUGCGGUUUUCACAUCCAUUUGGUGUAUUUCUAAAUUGUGAAUAGCUGUUAUUGCCAUUAACGUCCUUAUAGACGUAAUUCUUGUCACUGGCGAAUAUGUGUCAAAGAAGUGUACACCUUCAUUUUGACGAUACCCUUUGGUUACUAUAUGAGCGCGCCUUGUAUUUCUCUAUGGAACCAUCAGGUCUUAAUUUCCUCUUGAAAAUCCAUUUAUGGCCUAUUGGUUUAUGUCCUGGAGGUAAAUCAACCAAUUUCCAUGUAUUAUUUUGCAUAAUGGAUUCUACUUCACUUUGAAUAUAUAGCCUCUUUCCAAUAAGGUGCUUUCGAUGAUUCCAUAGCAGCCUUAUAUGUUUGAGGUUCUUCUUCAAUAGCAAAGGUCAUAUAGUCAGGUCCAAAAUCUUUGGCUAUUUUUCCACGUUUACUUCUUCGUGGUUCUAGAGUUGCUUCUUGAACUGCAUAAGUAUUGUUUUCAUCAGUUUCGGUACUUUUGUUUAAUUCAUUUUGAGACAACGUAUCAUUAUACGUUCUUUUUCUUAGAUUAGAUUCCCAAUACCCAAUCUUUGACUUUUAUUAAAUAUAUAUAUAUAUAUUAAUAUAUAUAUUUAUUUAUAUUGGAAACCUAACAGAGAGCCCACCAAACCCAUAUUAGGCCUAUCAUCCAUUUAAUGAGUCACAUGGAUGUUUCUAUAUAAAAACUCACACAUUUAAUUCUUCUUCAAUGUGGGAUAAAUACCACACAAGUUCCAAUAUGGACGUCCUCUGUAGAACGGCAAACACACACACACACACACACACACACACACACACACACAUACACAGUCCCCUUCCAGAGUGGGAUCCCGUUUUGAAAUUAAAGUGCGGGACUCCUUAUUUCGCUCACUUUCAUGUCGUAUUUCCACAUCUCAACUGUACAAUGUCUAAAACACAGUGUGUAGAUCAUUCAUGCAAAGUUUCAUCAAAUUUAAAGAUCAUUUGGGGACUAUAUAUAUAUAUUUAUAUAUAUAGCGCUUCUCAACUGCGUUUUUCUGUUAUAAAAAUGAACGGUUCAAGUUCGACAGAAUUAUGUUCAUCCAUAGAAAAACACAGUUUAAGUGUCUUAAUGAUAACCAAAUUGGCUGAAAUUUUGCAGAGAUAAUUUAUACAUUAGUAUCUAAAUACUAGAUGGUGGAGAUGUGAAAAUUCGAUUGAAAAGUGAGUGUAAAGUGAAAAUCGGCACCGUAAGAAUAAAUACGGANNNNNNNNNNNNNNNNNNNNNNNNNNNNNNNNNNNNNNNNNNNNNNNNNNNNNNNNNNNNNNNNNNNNNNNNNNNNNNNNNNNNNNNNNNNNNNNNNNNNNNNNNNNNNNNNNNNNNNNNNNNNNNNNNNNNNNNNNNNNNNNNNNNNNNNNNNNNNNNNNNNNNNNNNNNNNNNNNNNNNNNNNNNNNNNNNNNNNNNNNNNNNNNNNNNNNNNNNNNNNNNNNNNNNNNNNNNNNNNNNNNNNNNNNNNNNNNNNNNNNNNNNNNNNNNNNNNNNNNNNNNNNNNNNNNNNNNNNNNNNNNNNNNNNNNNNNNNNNNNNNNNNNNNNNNNNNNNNNNNNNNNNNNNNNNNNNNNNNNNNNNNNNNNNNNNNNNNNNNNNNNNNNNNNNNNNNNNNNNNNNNNNNNNNNNNNNNNNNNNNNNNNNNNNNNNNNNNNNNNNNNNNNNNNNNNNNNNNNNNNNNNNNNNNNNNNNNNNNNNNNNNNNNNNNNNNNNNNNNNNNNNNNNNNNNNNNNNNNNNNNNNNNNNNNNNNNNNNNNNNNNNNNNNNNNNNNNNNNNNNNNNNNNNNNNNNNNNNNNNNNNNNNNNNNNNNNNNNNNNNNNNNNCUGAACGGAUGAGAUGUCAAAAUAUGAUCGAAAAAUGAGUUUUUUAAACCAUAAACCGAAAAGUCCUCAACUAGUCCUCAAUGUAAGAGUACGUCCUCACUAGAAGGGCUCCCAUCCCUAUAUUGCUCUAUGAAAUUAUUGACACACAUCAUUAAGAGUAUAUGCUUCACAUCCAAUGAUCUAAAGUUUGGCUGAUAGCUAGCUAGCUAAAGUAUUUAACAUUGAUUUGGAGUACAAUAGCUGGUUUUUAGUUCAAGAUAUAUUAUUGUAAAUUUGUAAUUAAGUUUGAUUAAUUUGUAUGAUCGAUCGGUAACUUAGUCUUUCUCUUGCAAAGGUUCGGUCAUAUUAUGUCUCCCCUGUAGCUGGUUCGAUAUUUUUUUCCUUCUUUUUCUAACAUUUGCAAUGGUCAGGCAAAUGCUAGAAUAAGGUUACCGCUAAUGCUGGUAAACUUCAUUUUCAUAACAAGCGAAACUGACAACAUGCAUACAACAUAAUUCAUACUGCUUACGUACAACGCUUGCAUAAAGGCAGAGCAAAUGCAAGCUUAUUCUAUAUAGAAACUAACAUAAGCCUUAAAACACAUUGUUAAUCAAGGCAGCUCAAAGGAAGUCCAGGGCAUCAUCAGUAGGAGUAAAUCCAACAAAUUAUAGCCCACUUAUUCAUCGACGAACUCGACCAUUUGGGGAAGAACAGCUAGCAACUAAGCUAGCUAUAUAGCUAGACGUCCGACCCUCUAACUAGAUGUAGAUGGGGAGUGCUCUGCUCUCAGCUUCAGUCUUCAUACCACAAUAGCACAAUGCUUUCUCGAUUGGAUAAGGACGUGUACAAAUUACACACUCAUCACAUUUCUCUAUGCAUUCGGGGUAUGGAAUAAAGCCUCCCACUGAUUUUGCAAUUGGUUUGGCGACUACGUCCAAUUUUGCAAGUAAUUUUUCUGCAUAUAUAUGUGCAUAUGUACGUUAGUAACACACUAACACAUAACUAACAAGAAUUUAGAACCAUUUCGUAUAUAUGCCAAGUUAUAAAGGAUAAAUAUGUUACAUACAUAAAUACUCAAACACAUGAUAAGAACACUAGAUGGAAUUGAAACUAGUUACCUGCAUAUUCGAUUGCUGGUCUCUUGGAGUUGGAAGCAGUCUUUUUACCACAAUAGCACAGGGCAGCCUCAAUUGGGAUAAAUUUUGGUAGCAAAUUACACACUCAUCACAUUUUUCAAUGCAUUCUGGAUAUGGGAUAAAGCCUCCCACUGAUUUUGAAACUGGUUUGGCGACUGCUUCCAGUUCUGUAGAUAAUUUUUCUGCAUGCGCGCAAAUGUUAGUAACAAAUAUCGAUAUUUUAGAACCAUUUCAUACAUAUAUGUCAAGUUAUAUAGGAAAAGUGUUGCAUAAAUAAAUACUCAAAGGAAUGACAAAUAAGAACACAAAAUCGGGUUAAAAGUGGUUACCUGCAUAUUCGAUUGCUGGUCUCUUGGAGUGGGAAGCAGUCUUUUUACCACAAUAGCACAGUGCAGCUUCAAUUGGAUAUAUGAAGGUGCAAAUUACACACUCGUCACAUUUUUCAAUGCAUUCUGGAUAUGGGAUAAAGCCUCCCACUGAUUUUGAAACUGGUUUGGUGACUGCUUCCAGUUCUGUAGAUAAUUUUUCUGCAUGCGUGCGUAUGUUAGUAACACCUAUAUAGAAAUUUAGAAUUAUUAACGAAGAAAGUAUAUAAUGAUUAUUGAUUCAUCUUGGUACGUAUUGGUUUUUCAACAGAAGAAUAUAUUGUUUGAGUUAAUUUCCGGGCACUGUAUAUAUAUAUGUUUGGCAUGAAAUACAACCUAUAUAUGUCCCUAUAUGUCCAUGUACUCGCCAGUUCGAUUAUAUAUCAAGAGCCACGUACUGUUCUAUCCCAUUUCUCAGUUCUCGUUGAUUUGGCGCAUGCGCUUUUGCUGCAUCUAUGUGUAUAAUUCCAAAAUGAAUAAAGGUGAUAUAUUGUCCUCUUUCGAAUUCAUAACAUUUUAUCAAUAAUUAUAUCUCAGCUACAACAAUCUAUAUGGAUGGAAGACAACAACAUUGUUUCAUAUUCUCUUAAAUUAGUUAACUUACCAGAAUAUUUCUGGAGUUCUUCACCAAAUGGUUUCCACUGUGCGCAAGUGCACUCUGCAAACUGUGGAGCACGCCUGUCGCAAACGCAACGGUCGCAGACACGGUCGCACAGUAGAAAUGGAAUUUUCUGACAUUCUGGUAAUUGAACAAUAACGUAUAUAUAUAAGUGAACCUAUUAUGUACACACCAGUAAUAUAAGUCUGUUCUGAUAUAAUUUAACAACAUGAAAAACAUAGACAAACAAUAAUAUAUAUGAACAUGUAAAUUUUUAUUGCUAGCUAAGUAGGUAUGGUUAAUUACCAGGAUAAGGUUCUAGUUGGUUGUUAGAGGUAAGCAGCUGGGAAAAUAGGUCUAAGCGGGCAUGAGCACUAGUUGCUGCCAAAGCCAUGGCAAGCAACACUAAGAAACUGACUCUCAACAUAUUUUUGAAACUCGUAGUGUUUUCUUACUCAACUCUCAACUCGAUCGGUGUGUGAGAAAUGAAGAAGGCAGUGAGGUCUAUUUAUAGCCGAAAAUUGUACCGACUUCGAUCGACCUUGUCUAAUUAGGAACGUGUUAAUUUCUUCUGUUUUCUUUUUUUCUUCUGGCGAGAUGCCAUUGUUCAAUCAAGAUGCACAAUUUGGACCACGAUAUAUGUUUGUUUUAGCAGCUUGUGGAUUAAAGAGAUCGGAGCCAUUGACAAGAAAACAAAGAUUCUUGGGGAUAAGUAUAUUAGUGGUCCAAUAUUACACCAUUAUCCAUACUCCAAUUUCCACAAAAUCUGACGUUGUUUAAGUGAAAGACUACUACCGGCCUUUACCCCAUGGUGAAUUUUAUUACGACCUUGAAAUGAUGGAACGGAGUGAUUUUUACAACCCAAACCAUUGAGUUUUUUCGUGGUCAUUCUUGAUUUUUCUCCUUGAUCUUUCUAGAUAUGGUUGGUUACUCGUUUAACAAAUCUUCCUAUAUAUUUUAUGGUGAGCUUAGAGCCUGUAUGUGUUCCUCAUUGAAAAUUUUAAGCAUUGGCAAUUUCCACAGACGUCAACUUAAUUGUUGACACGGUGGUUACUUGUGUUUCUGAUGUAGAGCUCGAACGUGAACAAUUACCUGCAAAAAAAAAUAAGGAAGAAGACCAAUCGCGGCAUCAAGAGCUAGCUAGCCCAGCAAGAGCAGUCACCAGUCACCACCGGUCCACCAUCUUUCAGAGAAUUUGUUUGUUUCUGUGCAUUAGACCAAUCGCGGCAUCAAGAGCUAGCCAGCAAGAGCAGUCAGUCAGUCACCAGUCACCACCAUCUUUCAGAGAAUUUGUUUGUUUCUGUGCAUUAUACCCACGUUUAUUCAUGCAUGCAUGCAUGAGGAUAGAUUUGGGUACACAAAAUCUCAGAAAUUUCACGGGCUCUAGAUAUAGUGAUAUGGAUAUAAGAUAUAAAACAAUCAACAAUAAUGUACAUCUGUUAAAUAUGCCACGAAUAAAAAAGGACGAAUUAACUUGUAGUAAUCGAAAGUGACAAAUUGGUCCCCGGCUGUGACGCGGCAGAUCUGAUCGGAACUAGUUUGCAGGUUUAGCCGGAUUUUGGUCGGCGGUAGUGAUAUGUCUUUGGUUGCGGCUGGCUGGGAUCAGGUUGUCCCGGUCUGAGUGAAAAGAAAGCGGCGGUUGGCUUGCUUUUGAGGGAGCUCGCGAUGGUGUAGAGGCGAGGUCGGCUGCCGGGGAAUUAACCGGUGUCGGAUUCUGGUUUGGGCCAAUUACAUAUAAGUCCACUUUGAGACAUUUUUUCCCACAUAAAUCCACCCAAACAUUUUUACCCACAUAAGUCCACCCAAGUCUAAAUAAAGUUUUGUAUUAAGUAUCAAAGUUCAACAUAAUUACAGACUGUCAUCCAACAAAAAAAAUUAGAUUUUCUCCUUUAUAUUUACAAGAAUGCCACUAGUAUAAAAAGUUAACAACCACUCUCAUUUCGGAACAGUUUCCGGCCGACCUCCGACGAUGACAAAAAUUACUACUACCAGCUAAAAAAGCUACUACCACCAGCUAUAAAAGCUACUACCACCGCUUACAAAAGCUACUACAAAAGUUUCCGGCCGACCUCCGGCGAGAUUUCCGACCGACCUCCGGCGAGGUUUCCGGCCGACCUCCGACGAUGACAAAAAAUUACUACUACAAGNNNNNNNNNNNNNNNNNNNNNNNNNNNNNNNNNNNNNNNNNNNNNNNNNNNNNNNNNNNNNNNNNNNNNNNNNNNNNNNNNNNNNNNNNNNNNNNNNNNNNNNNNNNNNNNNNNNNNNNNNNNNNNNNNNNNNNNNNNNNNNNNNNNNNNNNNNNNNNNNNNNNNNNNNNNNNNNNNNNNNNNNNNNNNNNNNNNNNNNNNNNNNNNNNNNNNNNNNNNNNNNNNNNNNNNNNNNNNNNNNNNNNNNNNNNNNNNNNNNNNNNNNNNNNNNNNNNNNNNNNNNNNNNNNNNNNNNNNNNNNNNNNNNNNNNNNNNNNNNNNNNNNNNNNNNNNNNNNNNNNNNNNNNNNNNNNNNNNNNNNNNNNNNNNNNNNNNNNNNNNNNNNNNNNNNNNNNNNNNNNNNNNNNNNNNNNNNNNNNNNNNNNNNNNNNNNNNNNNNNNNNNNNNNNNNNNNNNNNNNNNNNNNNNNNNNNNNNNNNNNNNNNNNNNNNNNNNNNNNNNNNNNNNNNNNNNNNNNNNNNNNNNNNNNNNNNNNNNNNNNNNNNNNNNNNNNNNNNNNNNNNNNNNNNNNNNNNNNNNNNNNNNNNNNNNNNNNNNNNNNNNNNNNNNNNNNNNNNNNNNNNNNNNNNNNNNNNNNNNNNNNNNNNNNNNNNNNNNNNNNNNNNNNNNNNNNNNNNNNNNNNNNNNNNNNNNNNNNNNNNNNNNNNNNNNNNNNNNNNNNNNNNNNNNNNNNNNNNNNNNNNNNNNNNNNNNNNNNNNNNNNNNNNNNNNNNNNNNNNNNNNNNNNNNNNNNNNNNNNNNNNNNNNNNNNNNNNNNNNNNNNNNNNNNNNNNNNNNNNNNNNNNNNNNNNNNNNNNNNNNNNNNNNNNNNNNNNNNNNNNNNNNNNNNNNNNNNNNNNNNNNNNNNNNNNNNNNAGAGAGAGAGAGAGAGAAUUGGUGUAAAGGAGAGGAGGGCAUUUUAGGUACAUCGUAAAAGUAAAAUAACAGAUUUAGCCUUAAAAGUGGACUUAUAUGAGUAAAACUGUUAUGGUGGACUUAUGUAGGAGAAAAUGUUCAGAAUGUGACUUAUAUGAAAUUUUCUAUUCUGGUUUUGGCCGAAAUGAGAGAUUAGCUAUUUGGGUCAAUAAUCUAUUUGGGCUGCUUUUGUGGUCAGGAUGGAUUAGCUCAUUAUUCUUUUUUUUCUUUUCUCAGUUUUGGCAUCUCAAUUUUAAUUUCCGCUAUUUUAUUCUUAAUAAUUCUAGUUGUACACUAAUUGUGGUCUCUAGAUGAUUAGACUUACUUUCAUUGAGAGUUAGAUAGGGCCUUUAGAAUUCGAGUGUGUAGGCACAAUAAUUGAGCUUACAUGCAUGUAGUGAGGGUUACCUGACAGUUUAUUUAAUUUGGGUUGAUUAAGUAUUUGGCGCAAGACGUUGGUUGAUGUAAGUGUCUUUUGAUCGUAGAUAAAUAGCGAAAUUAUAUAUUUUUUAUUCAAACAAAUACAAAUUGGUCCCCCCGGUCGUUUUAUAGAUCGGCAUCAUUUUGUACAUGCAUGUU
This 64704-nucleotide long non-coding RNA is filed under the name Fragaria vesca (wild strawberry). RNAcentral's name for it is "long non-coding RNA (FVES_LNC002780)". The record is from RNAcentral. Lineage: Eukaryota; Viridiplantae; Streptophyta; Magnoliopsida; Rosales; Rosaceae.